GCCCGUUGCUUUUUAUAUCCGGACGGUGAAGUUCCGAAGGAUGCUCUGGUGAUUUGCGGGAUGUUGUGUAUCGAUUGAAGGAACGGUCAAGGAAUGAAAAUGGUCUGCUAAAUGCCAGCUUGGCGAAGAACAUGAUGCUAGAUGCGUAUGUGUGUGAUUUAGAAGUCAGCAUCGUGGAGAAGUUGAUGUCCUGAAGAAGAGGAUUCAGAAACUGCAGUUGUCCUUUGUGCUUGCUCUGUUCUGCUUUGUCAUUUCACACUUUUGGAAAUGAUUGUCAUGAAGAAAAAGAAGCAUCCUGGUGAAAUUAGUCCAAUAGGGAGUCAUUUAUGUAUGUUGUUUUUCUUUGUAAGCUGUUAAGCAAAAUUCAGAAUGUAUGAUGUUAAAAAGGUUUAGAAUUUGUCUUGUAUCUUGUUAUGCAAAAUUCAGAAUUUGGUACAAUGCUUCUUGGAAGUGUUAUGAAAAUAUUUGGAAUUUGGUACAAUGCAAAAUCGCAAUGCUAUGGCUGAUCUUCUUAUGUAUAUUGUAUACUGUAUGCUGAUCUGAAAAGAUUCGGAAUAUAUGUCUGAUCUUCUUAUAUGUGUUCUCAUGUAUGCAAUACUCUGUUUUAUUUACAGUGAACCAAAUAUACAAAUAUAGUGUAUGCUGUUAUGAAAAGAUCAUCUCACUGUAGAUGCACUAAAUGAAAUUUUGCUAUCUUGUUCAGUGACUGUGCACCAAAAUGACAGUACAAUUUCAGUACUGACUUGUACAAGCCCUGAAGUACUAUCUUGUUCAGUUCUGACAGCACACCUUGUGCAUUUUUGUGCUUCACAGAGUUAUAUUAGGAAAAAAAAUUAUGUACUUCAUAGAAUGUAAAUAACAACAAAUUGACAGUAAACUGUUCCAAAAGAUCAUGUACUUCACAAUACACCAUAAUUGAGAGUACAUUAUAGCAAAUAGAUGUUCCUAUCUUGCUGAAAUAAACAUAUGGACCCCAUAAACUAAUUCAAACAAAAACACUUCAUUCAGACAAGUAUAGCAGAUAAUUUACUAUGGACUAACAUGUUCAGUUCAUUCAGACAAGAAAGUGCACUUUUCUCCUUAACUAAACAGGGUAAUCAUCCACAAUAAAUUCUCCUAGCAAUGCAAGUUCAUUCAGACCCAUUUACUUUGCACGAGAGAUACCAGCUUGUCCUGCACCAAAAUCUGCUGAAAAGUCACACCUUUUCCCUAACAAAAACAUCCCUUUUUUCAUGAACAGAAUAGGGCAUCAUCCAAAACGCACUUGAACAGAACAGGGCGCAUCCAAAACACUACUUCUCCCCCUAAAUCCCUAGCACCGAGACGCCCCAUUCCCCUCACCCGAGCCCACACCUCUGCGGCGCACACGAUCGUUCACUGGAGCUCACGAUUCCGCCGAUGAACGACACCACAAGUGAAGCAGAGCAGCAACGAAGAUGGAGGCGCACGCACCUGGACACAUGCUUUCGUUCCUUCGGCGACGGGCAAGCGGCAGAUGACGGCGGCGGCGGCGGACGGGGACGGCGGUGACGGCGGACAGCGCCCUAGCAAACGAAAGGGGAGAGGCGUUUCUGGAGGCGACGGCGCUCUGACGAAGAAAGCAAGGAAGGAGACGAGGUGAUAAAAGGAAAGAAAUGAGAGAGACAACUGACUAAUGGGACCUUCUCAGCGUAAUUUGCCCAGUCAGCGCGUAAUCUGCAUCAUGGGGGACAAAGCCGCUCUAGAUUGGACAAAAACCACUCAAGGGGGUUAUUAACCCGGUUUUAGUAAUUUCAGGGUGUUAUUUGUCCCGGUUUUGAGUUCAGGGGGUUAUGUAUUCCAAAGAGUAGAUUUGGGGGUGAUUUGUAUACUUCUUUCUUUUCGAAAUGGAGUUGAUGAGUUAAUUGUACCACAUCGGUUGUGCAGAAAUAGUUCGAGGAUUGACCGGGCUAUAAGUGCUAGAUCUCUGGAUACAGAUAACUCAUCCUUGCGCUUGGGGCAAUGACGCAACUAGUGAAGUUAUACCGAGGCGCGUCAAUUGCUGGUUCCCUGUGCCGGGGCGCGAGCGGGGGCGUCGCGACGGCUGCCGUCUACGCCCUGGAACGCUUCGACGGCACGCGAGCCUCCUUCGCCAACUUCAUAUGGGGGUGCGCUGCACCGUCCCGUGUCCGGUUCUUUGGGUGGCUCCUUGUACAACAGAGGAUUCACACGAGAGAUGUCCUGCUCCGGAAGACUAUUGUGACGGCUGAGGAAGCUACAUGCCCCGUGAUCGAGACGGCGGAUCACCUGAUCUUCGAUUGUCCCCUUGCCCGCUCGUUCUGGCUGACCGUGGGCGUUGAGGUGGCCGAGAAGGGUUACCAUGUUGGUGCGCUUCAGGCCCUGGACGUGCGGGGUGUGGCCGGUGAUGUUGCCCAUGCCUCCUUCACCCUCAUUUGCUGUUGGCAGUUGUGGAAGCAUAGAAAUGUCGUGGUGUUCCAAGGCGCCCGGCCUUCCCUGGCCCGUUUGCUCGGGUGCUGCCGGGAAGACUCGGUCCUUUGGAAAGGCCGUUUGAAAGUGGCCGACUGGCCGUGCGUAGAUAGGUGGCUGCGCGCGUUCUCUCAGGCGAAUUACCCCUCUCAGUCCCUCUCUCCCUCCCCCACAUGUGUAAAAACCUUCCCCUUUCCAGGGGUGUGAUGUAAUAGAAAAAAGAAAAAGAUUCAGGUGGACCUUCAAAAAAAAUUUUGCUGGUUGAAAACUAUACCCUCUUUGGCCAUCACUGGUCACUAAGAAUUUCCGGAAGGGUUCCCUCCCGGCGAGGGUAAAACCCAACAAAUCCAAAAUUAAAAUCUUUAACCCCACGCUGCCGCGAUCUUCCAGCCCUAAAAGCACCUUGUGCAAGGACGAGCACAACCGAAGAUCCAGAGCACCCGACCUCUUCUUCUCAACCAAAGAGAAUGAAGCAUCGGCAUUUGCUUUGAUCCAUCUCCAGCAAAGGCCAUCUUUCCUUAACCAUCAUUGUUGUCUUUGUUGCCUCGCCUUGCUCAAGCCAAGGCAGACAGACUUUUCUCUCGUCCCCAAAGUAUAUAGUAUCAGCCUUUCCUUCCUGGUCCGCUAAGCUUUGGAUCCCACUCCGGUGCCGACGGCGACCUCGCACCGGAUGUUCACGUGCAACCAAACUUCCCUGUACUGUGCAUCGAGAGCUACCAGAGCGCACCAGCAGCCACGACUUGCGUACAAGGGCUCACUGAUCCAAUUCCAACGUAAUCUGGAAUCGAGAUGAUGAUCAAGUAAUCAGUCUCUUGAGCCCGGGUGGUACUGCGUCCAAAUCUGAUAAUGAGCCGAUACAUUGCUGGUCCUUCCUCCCGUCUAUGCAGGCCUGCGCUCACGCGCGGCGAUGGGGAUCGCGGAAGCUUGCCCGCGCGUUCCGGCCGGGUCCUUGACCCCCUUGCAAAGCACAUGACUGACAGAGGCAUUUUGGCGAGAAGCUUCCUGGCAGACGGCCACAGACGCAACGAAAAUCCGGACUGUUCUGACUGCGUCGCCCGACCCGUCGUGGAUCGUUGAUUGCCGUCGUUAGCCGGCCGGCCGUGGUUUCUCUUCCGUGCGACUGUGAGCCGGUGACGAGAUGGGUUAUGGGUACAUGCCAUGAUCCUGAACCUGAACGCUACAUAGAUUGCACCCAUGCCUUGCAAGAAAAGGAGCAUCGCGACGGCCGCGCGAUCCACUUGAGCGACCCAUCCUUGUGCAAACGCUUCGUGUCCCUGCUCUCCGCUACCACCACAUCAGAUACCAGCAGUCGAGAUCACACCCGAAAGCGGAGAAUUCUCCGUCCAUCCCUGGCUGGACGCGAGAAGAACACGAGGACUCGAGGAGAAGCGGUUGGUGCCCCAGCAGGACAAGCGAGAACCGGGCCGGGACAAGAGGAGCAAUUCAGAUUCCUCACGAUUCCACCCCGACUACUUGCUCUCUCUCGCGGAAAGUGGCCGCGGUCGCUCUCCGGCUUUGUCCCGGCCAGCGCGGGCCUUCGUCGCGUCCGAGAGCACGGCGCGCGAAAGCCGAACCAUCCACUGGCCCUGGAACAUCGCUGUUGCCGCAAAGAAGUUCUUUGGACGACGCGCGCAGAUCCAUCACUUUUCGCUGUUCUGGUAGGUGGCCCGUGGCCGGCCGAACAGUGGAAGCGGAUGGAUGCAGAGUGGCGCUGGAGGGCCGACGACGACGACGGCCUGCGAGCAGUGUGACAGGAGGCUUGUUGUCAUUGGGUCUGUACUGUACCGUGCGCCUGCAGAUGAGACUUGACGGCAGUUCGGCUCGCAGCUGAUCAUCGCGUUAGGUUCUCGACGGGUCGCCGUCCGUGGGGACGUGCGCAUGCUUGGCACUCGAAGCAGCAGCCUCGUCAGGUUCUUAGCGCCCGAUCAUCAGCUAGUCCAAAUAAUCUCUCUUCUUGACAAAGCAUGAAAAAGAAGUUAUAUGCACCACGGUCUGUCUUGUGUCUGUCUGCUUGGAUUCAUCCACAGCCCAACACUGUGAGCUCCUCUCGACGUCUGAACUCUGAGCUGAGCACAAACAAAAACAGAGAAGAAAGGGUGUGUGUGUGCGUGUGCUCCAAGGCCGCCGGCCGGCAAUGCACGCAUCGUUUUCCCAGCAGUAGCACAGCUAAGGCGUUGCCUUGGUGUUGAAAAUGAUCGCGAGAUGAUUGGGCAAGGCAAUGCAGUGGGGAUGGUAUCUGCCAAAGAAACUAGGCUCGUUGCUUCAGGCGUAAUCAGGGACAAAUAAGUCAUCUGAGAAAACUUAGUCAAAUGGCUCAAUCAUAUGCACAUUGAGAGCACUGAUACAGUGUCGUGUGGUGGACAGAACACAAGCAUUCAGGCUUAUAUGCUCCACUGGUAUGUCGAUAGCUCCAAGUGAAGAGACAAUGUUUAUUAGGGAUAUACGUUAUUAAAGUACUAAAGGCAUAAAUAUAUCAUGUACUCCUUUCGUCUCAUAUUAUAAGAACGUUUUUGACACUAGUGUACAGAGUGAGUGAUUGCUAGUUAGAGGCACAAUGUGUGAUACUACUAUCAAGUUCUCUAGUUAAACUUUCUGAAUUUGCUAUACGGCACACACAACGCACAAAUUAAAUUGUUUAUGGACAAUACAAAACUGAAUGAGAUGCAAAUGUCAGGCGAGUGCUCUUUUAAAGGAAUGUUAAACUCCCCCGACUUCCAUGUCCGCGGAUACACAUAGCCACAAUAUUAUUGAAGUUGAUACAAGGUAAUGCAACCAAAGCAUCAACAAGCAAGUACAGGAAAUAGGCAACAAUGAUAGAGCCAUGACAUGACAUGACAUGUAAACACUUAUGACUAACUCAUUUUCUUCUGCAGCAACGCCUCCAAGAAGAACACACGGCAACAACACAAUUAUGCCAAGUUCAACCAAUCAAGGCUAGAGUGUCGGUCCAGAAAAUGCCUUCAACAAGUUAACAACACAAUUAUGUCGUUAUUGAGUCGGAUGAGUAAAGGCCAGAGCAUGGAUCCCCACCCCCGGCAUGAAGUGGUAUUUCUGUCACCAUGUUGAUGGCAGAUUUUCCAGAAGCUCUCUCACCUAGCAGUCAUCAAGAAAACCACAAUGGAAUCCUAAUUAGAUAGUUGUAAAGUAACCCGUAAACCGAAACUUAUCACAAAUGUGCACCAAAACUGGCCUAGAUAGAGGAUUGGCCUCGAUUGGUUGUCCUCGGACUCAUGAGACAAAAAGGAAGAGACGACAGCAUGAGUCGCAUCAAGAUCCGUUGAUCAUAUAGAUUUGCAAGCACACCAUUGAUGCGCUUGCGGUCUGUGGAUGAUAGCACAUAAGCUUCACCAUAAGAGAGUCACCUACCUGUUUGCCUCUAAUGGAGAAGUGUUAUAAUGUGGCGGUGACAAAGGCCGAGCUAACGGGAAGUCGAUGAUGAGACAUCUCCUACAAAAAGCUGCCACCAGUCAAGACGGAUCAUGGUCAAGCAGCAUGCCGACGCCCGCCACUGCUCCUACACGGAGGGAGCCGUGCUUGCCGGUGAAAGGAUCACGAUGGAUUGCCACCGACUCGAUCAAUCGUCGCAGUUCCCCACAACUACACUGACAUGUCCACCAUUGCCGGAUUCCGGGGGUCAUCACCCUAGUGUUUGAGCUUUAUUUUUCCAUCGCCCAUGGUUAUCACAUUGCCAUAGUCAGAGGCCCCCUCUUCGUGCGAGAAAAGACCCCCCCCCCUCCCCCUCCGCAACCCUCUCGACCAUCUAUUUAGUUGGCUUUACCCGGUAGCAUCAUCUGAUGACGGGGAGAGGAAUAUGAUGGGAGGAGACAAUAGUAGCGGCGGUGGCUAGGUUUCACCUUUCGUCCCAAAGCUUCCCUAAGAAUGACGCGAAUGAGUUGCAUUCACAAAUAAUAAUAUUUCCUUGUUGCGGAUGAGGUGAAUGAGUGAUGCAAAUCACACAAAAAAAUUUCCUCGACGGGCAAGGAUAGUGGUAUCUCAUGAUUAAAAAAAGGAAAUAUAUUCAAAAUCACCAUGUGGAAUGCUCCUUUUUCUUCCAGGUAUAAUAAUGCUCCUUUUUUUGCAGGAUAUAUAUAGAAUGCUCCUUGUACUACACCCAGAGGAGUACAAAAUUUUACCAAAUAUUGCAUAUUUGAAUUCCUUUGCCUGCAACUCGGGGAACAAUUUGGAAGCAUCCGUGUUCAUGAAGAAAAAAUGGCAUGUGUGUAUUUCCAUUUAGAACCGAGUGAAAGCCCACCAUGAUUAUGAUAUUCAUAAUGUUGAAGUCAUGGUUAGUCACGUCGCUGCAAAGUUCUUUGGUUCCAGAAGGCUCGGACCGGUAGUAGUUAGCAUAUCAGCGAGAAGGAUAGCUUGCCAGAACUCUACACGGACGUCAUUGUACUUGUACCCCCAGACCAAAAUAAAGGACACUGGAGAUAUGAUGGGCCAGUUGGUUCAUCUUAAAUGUCAUUUCGCAACGCGUGUGCGUGUUGUUGAUCUAUGUUCCCUUCAGAAGCCAAUCUGGUGUUUGGGCUCUGUUUUUCCAUUGUCCAUGAUCGUCACAUUGCCAUAGUCGGAGGCCUCCUCUCCGCGCGAGAAAAGAACUCCCUCCCCCUCUCAGCACUACUCCCGACUAUCUAUUUAAUCAAUAUGAUGGGAGGAGACGAUAGUAGCGGCGGUGGCUAGGUUUCAUCUGAUGUUGCAAGCUUCCCUAAGAACGACGCGAACGACUUGCAUUCGCAAAUAAUAAUGUUUCCUUGUGACGGAUGAUGCGAUUAAGUGAAAACUGAUUACGAGCUUGUAUGGUGCAAAUCACAUAGAAGUUUUUUUUUCUCUAGCGGGCAAGGAUGGUUGUACGCUCCUUUUUGUUUCAUGCAUAUAGAAUACACCCUUUUUCGCGGGAUAUAUAGAAUGCUCCUUGUACUACACCCAAAGCAGUACAAAAUUUUACCAAAUAAAGAUGACCCUUGAGUCUGCAGAACCUAAGGGGAAAAGACUUAUGUGGCAAAUGGUAAAACUAAGGUUGGGCCUUGCUGGAGGAGUUUUAUUCAAGGCGAACUGUCUUGGGGUUCCCAUUAUAACCCAACCGCGUAAGGAACGCAAAAUCAAGGAACAUAACACCGGUAUGACGGAAACUAGGGCGGCAAGAGUGGAACAAAACACCAGGCAUAAGGCCGAGCCUUCCACCCUUUACCAAGUAUAUAGAUGCAUUAAAUAAAUAAGAGAUAUUGUGAUAUCCCAACAAAAUCCAUGUUCCAACAAGAAACAAAAGUCAAUCUUCACCUGCAACUAGCAACGCUAUAAGAGGGGCUGAGCAAAGCGGUAACAUAGACAAACAACGGUUAGCUAGGACAAGGUGGGUUAGAGGUUUGACAUGGCAAUAUGGGAGGCAUGACAUAGCAAGUGGUAGGUAUCACGGCAUAGCAAAAGAGUGAGCAACUAGCAAGCAAAAAUAGAAGUGAUUUCGAGGGUAUCGUCAUCUUGCCUGAGAUCCCGCAAGGAAGAAGAACGAGUCCAUGAUGAAGACAAACGGACGUAGAUAAACGGAUCCUCACAACUCCGGAACGAAACCGAAGCUAACGCGAGAAGUAACCCGGAAAGAAGCAAACAACAUAGUAAACAACCAUCACAUAAACAUGGCAUGAUGCACAAUCAAGUAUGAUGCAUGUCCGGUUUAAAUAUGCAUGGCAUGGCAAAGUGCACAAACAAUACUACAAAUUAAGUGGAGCUCAAUAUGCAACGAGUUGCAUAUUGACGAAACACCACAUGACUUAUUUAGUUCUCUCUCAUUUAGGUACUCAACAAAAUUAAAUGUUGGUUAACAUGGCAAGAGGUGAAACAUGAGUAGAAAACACGGUUAGGCAUUUUAAAUGAGGCCGGAAACAUCAACCAACAAAUCCGGUAAAACCCCAUAUGCAUUUAGCAAUUUAAUGUAGCAACAAUGUUAAACAUUUUAAUUGUUGUUAUCAUGAUGCGGAUGACAUGAACAAGUUUAUGCAAUUUUUUAUUAAAAGUUGACAAGAGCAUUACGACGCAUUUGUCACCGUGGUGAAAAGGAAAGGGGUGCCACGGCAACGAUAACGAAAACGGUGCCACGGCAGCGUUUCGGUUCCGGUAACUCGAUUGGGAUACUGAUGCAAAGGAGAAGUGUGCAGAUGCGUGCAAAAGAUGGUGGGGCGCUCCCGGAUUCCGGGUGUCCCACGAGUUGGCGACAAGGAAACGAGUGACAAUUUGGACACGGUGCAAACAUGAGCAUCUCAAACAUCGCAAGCAUUCGUUCACGGACGUCGUCUCGAGGUUAUACCUUCAAAGCGUGCAAGCGGGUGCAAAGUAGAGGAAGUAGACGUUCUCGCGACGGCGGUAGUGGAAGUAGUCGUUCUGGCACGCUCUAGGGUUGACGGUAGAGAUUCUCGCGAUCUCGGCGAUGGUAGUGGUACAUGUUUAUCGUUGCACGAGUUUCCAUAGACGUUCAUGUCAUCGGUGUCGUGGUACUUGGGGUCUUCAGACUUUCCGGUCCCGUUCUUGCGAUGAUAGUCGUUCACGUUCGUUCGGAGAGGUACUUGAUGACUCCAACGUUUUCGGGGCGACGGUAGUUGUACACGGUCCACGAGACGUCGAUCAUUCGGGGUCCGACUUGCGGGUCUUGCCGACAUGAGGCGUUUUUGUGUAGACGAACUUGGCGCAUCCGAAGGGUCACACUUGUCGUCGUGGGAACUUGGUGAAUCCGAGGUCUUCGAGGUCGGCGGUAGUGAAGGAAAUAUGCCCUAGAGGCAAUAAUAAAGUUAUUAUUUAUUUCCUUAUAAUCAUGAUAAAUGUUUAUUAUUCAUGCUAGAAUUGUAUUAACCGGAAACAUAAUACAUGUGUGAAUACACAGACAAACAAAGUGUCACUAGUAUGCCUCUACUUGACUAGCUUGUUAAUCAAAGAUGGUUAUGUUUCCUAACCAUGAACAAUGAGUUUUUAUUUGAUUAACGAGAUCACAUCAUUGAGAGAAUGAUCUGAUUGACAUGACCCAUUCCAUUAGCUUAGCACCCGAUCGUUUAGUAUGUUGCUAUUGCUUUCUUCAUGACUUAUACAUGUUCCUAUAACUAUGAGAUUAUGCAACUCCCGUUUACCGGAGGAACACUUUGGGUACUACCAAACGUCACAACGUAACUGGGUGAUUAUAAAGGAGUACUACAGGUGUCUCCAAAGGUACAUGUUGGGUUGGCGUAUUUCGAGAUUAGGUUUUGUCACUCCAAUUGUCGGAGAGGUAUCUCUGGGCCCUCUCGGUAAUGCACAUCACUUAAGCCUUGCAAGCAUUGCAACUAAAUGAGUUAGUUGCGGGAUGAUGUAUUACAGAACGAGUAAAGAGACUUGUCGGUAACGAGAUUGAACUAGGUAUUGGAAUACCGACGAUCGAAUCUUGGGCAAGUAACAUACCGAUGACAAAGGGAACAACGUAUGUUGUUAUGCGGUCUGACCGAUAAAGAUCUUCGUAGAAUAUGUAGGAGCCAAUAUGGGCAUCCAGGUCCCGCUAUUGGUUAUUGACCGGAGACAUGUCUAGGUCAUGUCUGCAUUGUUCUCGAACUCGUAGGGUCCGCACGCUUAAGGUUACGAUGAUUGUUAUAUUGUGAGUUUAUGCAUUUUGAUGUACCGAAGGUUGUUCAGAGUCCCGGAUGUGAUCACGGACAUGACGAGGAGUCUCGAAAUGGUCGAGACAUAAAGAUUGAUAUAUUGGAAGCCUAUGUUUGGAUACCGGAAGUGUUCCGGGUGAAAUCGGGAUUUUACCGGAGUACUGGGAGGUUACCGGAACCCCUCGGGAGCUAAAUGGGCCAUGAUGGGCCUUAGUGGAAAAGAGAAGAGGCAGCCCUACAUGGGCCGCGCGCCUCUCCCCUCCCUUGGUCCGAAUAGGACAAGGAGAGGGGGCCGGCCCCUCUCUCUCUUUUCCCCCCUCCGCGAAUCCUAUUCCAACUAGGAUUGGGGGGGGGGAUCCUACUCCCAGAGGGAGUAGGACUCUCCUGGCACGCCCUCCUUGGCCGGCCAGCCUCCCCCCUCUAGUCCUUUAUAUACGGAGGCAGGAGCACCCAGAGAGACACAAGUUGAUCCACGUGAUCUAUUCCUUAGCCGUGUGCGGCGCCCCCAGCCACCAUAGUCCUCGAUAAUAUUGUAGCGGUGCUUAGGCGAAGCCCUGCAACAGUAGUACGUCAAGAUCAUCACCACGCUGUCGUGCUGACGGUACUCUUCCCCGACACUUUGCUGGAUCGGAGUCCGGGGAUCGUCAUCGAGCUGAACGUGUGCUAGAACUCGGAGGUGCCGUAGUUUCGGUGCUUGAUCGGUCGGAUCGUGAAGACGUACGACUACAUCAACCAAACGCUUCCGUUGUCGAUCUACUAGGUAUGUAGAUAAUACUCCCCCUCUCGUUGCUAUGCGUCACAUGAUCUUGCGUGUGCGUAGCAAAUUUUUUGAAAUUACUACGUUCACCAACAGUGGCAUCCGAGCCUAGGUUUUAUAUGUUGAUGUUAUUUGCACGAGUAGAACACAAGUGAGUUGUGGGCAAUAUAAGUCAUACUGCCUACCAGUAUGUCAUACUUGUUGGGUAACGUAGCAGAAAUUCAAAAAAUUUCUUACGUAUCACCAAGAUCUAUCUAUGGAGAGACCAGCAACGAGUAGAAAGAGAGUGCAUCUACAUACCCUUGUAGAUCGCUAAGCGGAAGCGUUCAAGUGAACGGGGUUGAUGGAGUCGUACUCGUCGUGAUUCAGAUCACCGAUGAUCAAGUGCCGAACGGACGGCACCUCCGCGUUCAACACACGUACAGCCCGGUGACGUCUCCCACGCCUUGAUCCAGCAAGGAGAGAGGGAGAGGUUGAGGAAGACUCCAUCCAGCAGCAGCACAACGGCGUGGUGGUGGUGGAGGAGCGUGGCAAUCCUACAGGGCUUCGCCAAGCACCUACGGGAGAGGAGGAGGUGUCACGGGAGGGAGGGAGGCGCCAAGGGCUCAGGUAUGGAUGCCCUCCCUCCCCUCCACUAUAUAUAGGGGCAAGGGAGAGGGGGGAGGCGCAGCCUUGCCCCCUACUCCAAGAAAGGGGUGCGGCCAAGAGGGGGGGAGGAGUCCAUCCUCCCCAAGGCACCUCGGAGGUGCCUUCCCCCUCGAGGACUCUUCCCUCUAGGGUUCCCUAGGCGCAUGGGCCUCUUGGGGCUGGUGCCCUUGGCCCAUGUAGGCCAAGGCGCACCCCCUACAGCCCAUGUGGUCCCCCGGGGCAGGUGGCCCCACCCGGUGGGCCCCCGGGACCCUUCCGGUGGUCCCGGUACAAUACCGAUGACCCCGAAACUUGUCCCGAUGGCCGAAACAGGACUUCCUAUAUAUAAAUCUUUACCUCCGGACCAUUCCGGAACUCCUCGUGACGUCCGGGAUCUCAUCCGGGACUCCGAACAACAUUCGGUUACCACAUACAAGCUUCCUUUAUAACCCUAGCGUCAUCGAACCUUAAGUGUGUAGACCCUACGGGUUCGGGAGACAUGCAGACAUGACCGAGACGUUCUCCGGUCAAUAACCAACAGCGGGAUCUGGAUACCCAUGUUGGCUCCCACAUGUUCCACGAUGAUCUCAUCGGAUGAACCACGAUGUCAAGGACUCAAUCAAUCCCGUAUUCAAUUCCCUUUGUCUAUCGGUAUGUUACUUGCCCGAGAUUCGAUCGUCGGUAUCCAAUACCUUGUUCAAUCUCGUUACCGGCAAGUCACUUUACUCGUUCCGUAACACAUCAUCCCGUGAUCAACUCCUUGGUCACAUUGCGCAUAUGAUGAUGUCCUACCGAGUGGGCCCAGAGAUACCUCUUCGUUUACACGGAGUGACAAAUCCCAAUCUUGAUCCGUAUAAAACAAUAGAUACUUUCGGAGAUACCUGUAGUGCACCUUUAUAGUCACCCAGUUACGUUGUGACGUUUGAUACACCCAAGGCACUCCUACAGUAUCCAGGAGUUACACGAUCUCAUGGUCAAAGGAAGAGAUACUUGACAUUUGCAAAGCUCUAGCAAAUGAACUACACGAUCUUUUGUGCUAGUCUUAGGAUUGGGUCUUGUCCAUCACAUCAUUCUCCUAAUGAUGUGAUCCCGUUAUCAACGACAUCCAAUGUCCAUAGCCAGGAAACCAUGACUAUCUGUUGAUCACAACGAGCUAGUCAACUAGAGGCUCACCAGGGACAUAUUGUGGUCUAUGUAUUCACACGUGUAUUACGAUUUCCGGAUAAUACAAUUAUAGCAUGAAUAAAAGACAAUUAUCAUGAACAAGGAAAUAUAAUAAUAAUACUUUUAUUAUUGCCUCUAGGGCAUAUUUCCAACAGUCUCCCACUUGCACUAGAGUCAAUAAUCUAGUUCACAUCGCCAUGUGAUUAACACUCACAGGUCACAUCGCCAUGUGACUAACACCCAAGAGUUUACUAGAAUCAGUAGUCUAGUUCACAUCACUAUGUGAUUAAUACUCAAUGAGUUUUAAGUUUGAUCAUGUUGCUUGUGAGAGAGGUUUUAGUCAACGGGUCUGAACCUUUCAGAUCCGUGUGUGUUUUACAAAUCUCUAUGUCAUCUCCUAGAUGCAGCUACCACGCUCUAUUUGGAGCUAUUCCAAAUAACUGUUCUACUUGGAGCUAUUCUAAAUUGUUGCUCCAUUAUAUGUAUCCGGUAUCUCUACUCAGAGCUAUCCGGAUAGGUGUCAAGCUUGCAUCGACGUAACCCUUUACGACGAACUCUUUUACCACCUCCAUAAUCGAGAAAAAUUCCUUAGUCCACUAAUUUCUAAGGAUAACUUUGACCGCUGUCCUGUGAGCCAUUCUUGGAUCACUCUUGUACCCCUUGACUGACUCAUGGCAAGGCACACUUCAGGUGCGGUACACAGCAUAGCAUACUGAAGAGCCUACAUCUCAAGCAUAGGGGACGACCUUCGUCCUUUCUCUCUAUUCUGCCGUGGUCGAGCUUUAAGUCUUAACUUCGUACCUUACAACUCAGGCAAGAACUCCUUCUUUGACUGGUCCAUCUUGAACACCUUCAAGAUCAUGUCAAGGUAUGUGCUCAUUUGAAAGUACCAUUAAGCGUUUUGAUCCAUCCUUAUAGAUCUUGAUGCUCAAUGCUCAAGCAGCUUAAUCCAGGCUUUCCAUUGAAAAACACUUUCAAAAUAACCCUAUAUGCUUUCCAGAAAUUCUACGUCAUUUCUGAUCAACAAUAUGUCAACAACAUAUACUCAUCAGAAAUUCUAUAGUGCUCCCACUCACUUCUUUGGAAAUACAAGUUUCUCAUAAACUUUGUACAAACCCAAAAUCUUUGAUCAUCAUCAAAGCAUACAUUCCAACUCCGAGAUGCUUACUCCAGUCCUUAGAAGGAUCGCUGGAGCUAGCAUACCUCUUAGCAUCCUCAGGAUUGACAAAAACUUUUCUGAUUGUAUUGCAUACAACCUUUCCUUACGAAAACUAGUAAGGAAACUUGUCUUGACAUCCAUCUGCCAGAUUUCAUAAAUGCAGCUAAUGCUAACAUGAUUCCGACGGACUUUAAGCAUCGCUACGAGUGAGAAAAUCUCAUCGUAGUCAACUCCUUGAACUUGUGAAAAACUUUUCGCCACAAGUCGAGCUUCAUGGACGGUGACAUUACCAUCCACGUCUGUCUUCUUCUUAAAGAUCCAUUUAUCUUAAUGGCUUGCCGAUCAUCGGGCAAGUCCGCCAAAGUCCAUGGAUCCAUUCUCAGAUUUUAUGGCCUUGAGCCAUUUAUCGGAAUCCGGGCCCACCAUUGCUUCUCCAUAGCUCGUAGGUUCAUUGUUGUCCAGCAACAUGACUUUCAAGACAGGAUUACGUACCACUCUGAAGUAGUACGCAUCCUUGUCAUUCCACGAGGUUUGGUAGUGACUUGAUCCGAAGUUUCAUGAUCAAUAUCAUAAGCUUCCACUUCAAUUGGUGUAGGUGCCACAGGAACAACUUCCUGUGCCCUGCCACACACUAGUUGAAGAGACGGUUCAAUAACCUCAUCAAGUCUCCACCAUCCUCCCACUCAACUCUUUCGAGAGAAACCUUUCCUCGAGAAAGGACCCGAUUCUAGAUACAAUUCAUAUUGCUUUCGGAUCUGAAUUAGGAGGUAUACCCAACUGUUUUGGGUGUCCUAUGAAGAUGUAUUUUAUCCGCUUUGGGUUCGAGCUUAUCAACCUGAAAUUUUUUCAUAUAAGCGUCGCAGCCCCAAACUUUUAAGAAACGACAACUUAGGUUUCUCUAAACCAUAAUUCAUACGGUGUCAUCUCAUCGGAAUUACGUGGUGCCCUAUUUAAAGUGAAUGUGGUUGUCUCUAAUGCCUAACCCAUGAACGAUAGUGGUAAUUCGAUAAGAGACAUCAUGGUACGCACCAUAUCCAAUAGGGUGUAACUAUGAUGUUCGGACACACCAUCACAUUAUGGUGUUCCAGGCGGUAUUAAUUGCGAAACAAUUUCCACAAUGUCUUAAUUGUGUGCCAAAACUCGUAACUCAGAUAUUCAUCUCUAUGAUCAUAUCAUAGACAUUAUAUCCUCUUGUCACAAUGAUCUUCUACUUCACUCUGAAAUUACUUGAACCAUUCAAUAAUUCAGACUUGUGUUUCAUCAAGUAAAUAUUCUCAACAUCUACUCGAAUCAUCUGUGAAGUAAGAACAUAACGAUAUUCACUGCAUGCCUCAGCAUUCAUUGGACUGUACACAUCAAAAUGUGUUACUUCCAACAAGUUGCUAUCUUGUUCCAUCUUACUGAAAACGAGGCUUUUCAGUCAUCUUGCCCAUGUGGUAUGAUUUGCAUAUCGAGUGAUUCAAAAUCAAGUGAGUCCAAAUGAUCCAUCUGCAUGGAGUUUCUUCAUGCAUAUACACCAAUAGACAUGGUUCGCAUGUCUCAAACUUUUCAAAAACGAGUGAGUCCAAAGAUCCAUCAACAUGGAGCUUCUUCAUGCGUUUUAUACCAUUAUGACUUACAUGGCAGUGCCACAAGUAAGUGGUACUAUCAUUACUAUCUUAUAUCUUUUGGCAUGAAAAUGUGUAUCCCUACGAUCAAGAUUCAAUAAACCAUUCCUUUAGGUGCAAGAGCACUUAUUCAGGUUUAAUACUAAUCUUGAUGGUAGAGGGAGCGUGCGAUGUUAGAUCACAUCAAACUUGGAAACACUUCCAACACAUAUCGUCAGCUCACCUUUAGCCAGUCUCCGUUUUAUUCCGUAGCUUUUAUUUCGAGUUACUAACACUUAGCAACCGAACCGGUGUCUAAUACCCUGGUGCUACUAGGAGUACUAGUAAAGUACACAUUAACAUAAUGUAUAUCCAAUAUACUUCUAUCGACCUUGCCAGCCUUCUCAUCUACCAAGUAUCUAGGGUAAUCCUGCUCCAGUGGUUGUUCCCCUUAUUACAGAAGCACUUAGUCUCGGGUUUGGGUUCAACCUCGGGUUUCUUCAUUGGUGCAGCAGCUGAUUUGCCGUUUCAUGAAGUAUCCCUUCUUUCCCUUGCCCUUCUUGAAACUAGUGGUUUCAUCAACCAUCAACAAUUGAUGCUCCUUCUUGAUUUCUACUUUCGCGGUGUCAAACAUCGCGAAUACUUCAAGGAUCAUCAUAUCUAUCCCUGAUAUGUUAUAGUUCAUCACGAAGCUCUAGCAGCUUCGUGGCAAUGACUUUGGGGAAACAUCACUAUCUCAUUUGGAAGAUCAACUCCCACUUGAUUCAAGUGAUUGUUGCACUCAGACAAUCUGAGCACAAGCUCAACGAUUGAGCUUUUCUCCCUUAGUUUGUAGGCUAAGAAAAUUGUCGGAGGUCUCAUACCUCUUGACGUGGGCACGAGCCUGAAAUCCUAAUUUCAGCCCUCGAAACAUCUCAUAUGUUCCGCGACGUUUCGAAAACGUCUUUGGUGCCUCUACUUAAACCAUUUAACUGAACUAUCACGUAGUUACCAAAAUGUGUAUGUUCGAUGUUCGAAACAUCCACAAACGACGUUUGGGGUUUAGCACACUAAGCGAUGCAUUAAGGACAUAAGCUAUCUACUGUCUGCAUAAUUGCUACUUUCAACUUUCAACUAUAUUUUCUCUAGGAACAUAUCUAAAACAGUAGAACUAUAGCGUGAGCUACGACAUAAUUUGCAAAAGGUCUUUUGACUAUGUUCAGGAUAAUUGAGUUCAUCUUAUGAACUCCCACUUAGAUAGACAUCCCUCUGGUCAUCUAAGUGAUCACAUGAUCCGAGUCAACUAGGCCGUGUCCGAUCAUCACGUGAGACGGACUAGUCAUCAUCGGUGAACAUCUUCAUGUUGAUCGUAUCUGCUAUACGACUCAUGCUCGACCUUUCGGUCUCCGUGUUCCGAGGCCAUGUCUGCACAUGCUAGGCUUGUCAAGUUAACCCUAAGUGUUUUCGCUGUGUAAAACUGUCUUACACCCGUUGUAUGUGAACGUAAGAAUCCAUCACACCCGAUCAUCACGUGGUGCUUAGAAGCGACGAACUGUAGCAACGGUGCACAGUUAGGGGAGAACACUUCUUGAAAUUUUGUAAGGGAUCAUCUUAUUUACUACCGUCGUCCUAAGUAAACAAGAUGCAUAAACAUAAUAAACAUCACAUGCAAUUAUAUAGUUGUGACAUGAUAUGGCCAAUAUCAUAUAGCUCCAUUGAUCUCCAUCUUCGGGGCUCCAUGAUCAUCUUGUCACCGGCAUGACACCAUGAUCUCCAUCAUCAUGAUCUCCAUCAUCGUGUCUUCAUGAAGUUGUCACGCCAACGACUACUUCUACUUCUAUGACUAACGCGUUUAGCAAUAAAGUAAAGUAGUUUACAUGGCGUUCUUCAAUGACACGCAGGUCAUACAAAAAAUAAAGACAACUCCUAUGGCUCCUGCCGGUUGUCAUACUCAUCGACAUGCAAGUCGUGAAUCCUAUUACAAGAACAUGAUCAAUCUCAUACAUCACAUAUCAUUCAUCACAUUCUUCUUGGCCAUAUCACAUCACAUAGCAUACCCUGCAAAAACAACUUAGACGUCCUCUAAUUGUUGUUUGCAUGUUUUACGUGGCUGCUAUGGGUUUCUAGCAAGAACGUUUCUUACCUACGCAAAACCACAACGUGAUAUGCCAAUUGCUACUUACCCUUCAUAAGGACCCUUUUCAUCGAAUCCGUUCCGACUAAAGUGGGAGAGACUGGCACCCGCUAGCCACCUUAUGCACCAAGUGCAUGUCAAUCGGUGGAACCUGUCUCACGUAAGAGUACGUGUAAGGUCGGUCCGGGCCGCUUCAUCCCACAAUACCGUCGAAACAAGAUUGGACUAGUAACGGUAAGCAUAUUGAACAAAAUCAAGGCCCACAACUAUUUUGUGUUCUACUCGUGCAAAGAAUCUAAGCAAUAGACCUAGCUCAUGAUGCCACUGUUGGGUAACGUAGCAGAAAUUCAAAAAAUUUCCUACGUAUCACCAAGAUCUAUCUAUGGAGAGACCAGCAACGAGUAGAAAGAGAGUGCAUCUACAUACCCUUGUAGAUCGCUAAGCGGAAGCGUUCAAGUGAACGGGGUUGAUGGAGUCGUACUCGUCGUGAUUUAGAUCACCGAUGAUCAAGUGCCGAACGGACGGCACCUCCGCGUUCAACACACGUACAGCCCGGUGACGUCUCCCACGCCUUGAUCCAGCAAGGAGAGAGGGAGAGGUUGAGGAAGACUCCAUCCAGCAGCAGCACAAUGGCGUGGUGGUGGUGGAGGAGCGUGGCAAUCCUGCAGGGCUUCGCCAAGCACCUACGGGAGAGGAGGAGGUGUCACGGGAGGGAGGGAGGCGCCAAGGGCUCAGGUAUGGAUGCCCUCCCUCCCCUCCACUAUAUAUAGGGGCAAGGGAGAGGGGGGAGGCGCAGCCUUGCCACCUACUCCAAGAAAGGGGUGCGGCCAAGAGGGGGGGAGGAGUCCAUCCUCCCCAAGGCACCUCGGAGGUGCCUUCCCCCUCGAGGACUCUUCCCUCUAGGGUUCCCUAGGCGCAUGGGCCUCUUGGGGCUGGUGCCCUUGGCCCAUGUAGGCCAAGGCGCACCCCCUACAGCCCAUGUGGCCCCCCGGGGCAGGUGGCCCCACCCGGUGGGCCCCCGGGACCCUUCCGGUGGUCCCGGUACAAUACCGAUGACCCCGAAACUUGUCCCGAUGGCCGAAACAGGACUUCCUAUAUAUAAAUCUUUACCUCCGGACCAUUCCGGAACUCCUCGUGACGUCCGGGAUCUCAUCCGGGACUCCGAACAACAUUCGGUUACCACAUACAAGCUUCCUUUAUAACCCUAGCGUCAUCGAACCUUAAGUGUGUAGACCCUACGGGUUCGGGAGACAUGCAGACAUGACCAAGACGUUCUCUGGUCAAUAACCAACAGCGGGAUCUGGAUACCCAUGUUGGCUCCCACAUGUUCCACGAUGAUCUCAUCGGAUGAACCACGAUGUCAAGGACUCAAUCAAUCCCGUAUUCAAUUCCCUUUGUCUAUCGGUAUGUUACUUGCCCGAGAUUCGAUCGUCGGUAUCCAAUACCUUGUUCAAUCUCGUUACCGGCAAGUCACUUUACUCGUUCCGUAACACAUCAUCCCGUGAUCAACUCCUUGGUCACAUUGCGCAUAUGAUGAUGUCCUACCGAGUGGGCCCAGAGAUACCUCUCCGUUUACACGGAGUGACAAAUCCCAAUCUUGAUCCGUAUAAAACAAUAGAUACUUUCGGAGAUACCUGUAGUGCACCUUUAUAGUCACCCAGUUACGUUGUGACGUUUGAUACACCCAAGGCACUCCUACGGUAUCCAGGAGUUACACGAUCUCAUGGUCAAAGGAAGAGAUACUUGACAUUUGCAAAGCUCUAGCAAAUGAACUACACGAUCUUUUGUUCUAGUCUUAGGAUUGGGUCUUGUCCAUCACAUCAUUCUCCUAAUGAUGUGAUCCCGUUAUCAACGACAUCCAAUGUCCAUAGCCAGGAAACCAUGACUAUCUGUUGAUCACAACGAGCUAGUCAACUAGAGGCUCACCAGGGACAUAUUGUGGUCUAUGUAUUCACACGUGUAUUACGAUUUCCGGAUAAUACAGUUAUAGCAUGAAUAAAAGACAAUUAUCAUGAACAAGGAAAUAUAAUAAUAAUACUUUUAUUAUUGCCUCUAGGGCAUAUUUCCAACAAUACUUUGGUUCGGCGGUAUUGUUGGAUGAAGCGGCCUAGACCGACAUUACGCGUACGCUUACGCGAGACCGGUUCUCCCGACGUGCUUUGCACAGAGGUGGCUUGUGGGUGACAGUUUCUCCAACUUUAGUUGAACCAAGUGUGGCUAUGCCCGGUCCUUGCGAAGGUUAAAACGGAGUCAAAUUGACAAACUAUCGUUGUGGUUUUGAUGCGUAGGUGAGAUUGGUUCUUAAUUAAGCCCGUAGCAGCCACGUAAAACUUGCAACAACAAAGUAGAGGACGUCUAACUUGUUUUUGCAGGGCAUGUUGUGAUGUGAUAUGGUCAAGACAUGAUGCUGAAUUUUAUUGUAUGAGAUGAUCAUGUUUUGUAACCGAGUUAUCAGCAACCGGCAGGAGCCAUAUGGUUGUCGCUUUAUUGUAUGCAAUGCAAUCGUGAUGUAAUGCUUUACUUUAUCACUAAACGGUAGCGAUAGUUGUAGAAGCACAAGCUUGGCGAGACGACAACGAUGCUACGAUGGAGAUCAAGGUGUCACGCCGGUGACGAUGGUGAUCACGACGGUGCUUCAGCAGAUGGAGAUCACAAGCACAAGAUGAUGAUGGCCAUAUCAUAUCACUUAUAUUGAUUGCAUGUGAUGUUUAUCUUUUAUGCAUCUUAUCUUGCUUUGAUUGACGGUAGCAUUAUAAGAUGAUCUCUCACUAAAAUAUCAAGAAGUGUUCUCCCUGAGUAUGCACCGUUGCGAAAGUUCUUCGUGCUGAGACACCACGUGAUGAUCGGGUGUGAUAGGUUCUACGUUCAAAUACAACGGAUGCAAAACAGUUGCACACGCGGAAUACUCAGGUUAUACUUGACGAGCCAAGCAUAUACAGAUAUGGCCUCGGAACACGGAGACCGAAAGGUCGAGCGUGAAUCAUAUAGUAGAUAUGAUCAACAUAAUGAUGUUCACCAAUGAAACUACUCCAUCUCACGUGAUGAUCGGACAUGGUUUAGUUGAUUUGGAUCACGUAAUCACUUAGAGGAUUAGAGGGAUGUCUAUCUAAGUGGGAGUUCUUUAAGUAAAUUAACUGAACUUAAAUUUAUCAUGAAACUUAGUACCUGAUUAGUAUCUUGCUUGUUUAUGUUUGAUUGUAGAUAGAUGGCUCGUGCUGUUGUUUCGUUGAAUUUUAAUGCGUUCCUUGAGAAAGCAAAGUUGAAAGAUGAUGGUAGCAAUUACACGGACUGGGUCCGUAACUUGAGGAUUAUCCUCAUUGCUGCACAGAAGAAUUACGUCCUGGAAGCACCGCUGGGUGCCAGGCCUGCUGCAGGAGCAACGCCGGAUGUUAUGAACGUCUGGCAGAGCAAAGCUGAUGACUACUCGAUAGUUCAGUGUGCCAUGCUUUACGGCUUAGAAUCGGGACUUCAACGACGUUUUGAACGUCAUGGAGCAUAUGAGAUGUUCUAGGAGUUGAAGUUAAUAUUUCAAGCAAAUGCCCGGAUUGAGAGAUAUGAAGUCUCCAAUAAGUUCUAUAGCUGCAAGAUGGAGGAGAACAGUUCUGUCAGUGAGCAUAUACUUAAAAUGUCUGUGUAUAAUAAUCACUUGAUUCAAUUGGAGUUAAUCUUCCAGAUGAUUGCGUCAUUGACAGAAUUCUCCAAUCACUGCCACCAAGCUACAAGAGCUUCGUGAUGAACUAUAAUAUGCGAGGGAUGAAUAUGACUAUCCCCGAGCUCUUCGCAAUGCUGAAAGCUGCGGAGGUAGAAAUCAAGAAGGAGCAUCAAGUGUUGAUGGUCAACAAGACCACUAGUUUCAAGAAAAAGGGCAAAGGGAAGAAGAAGGGGAACUUCAAAAGAACGGCAAGCAAGUUGCUACUCAAGAGAAGAAACCCAAACCUGGACCUAAGCCUGAAACUGAGUGCUUCUAUUGCAAGCAGACUGGUCACUGGAAGCGGAACUGCCCCAAGUAUUUGGCGGAUAAGAAGGAUGGCAAGGUGAACAAAGGUAUAUGUGAUAUACAUGUUAUCGAUGUGUACCUUACUAAUGCUCGCAGUAGCACCUGGGUAUUUGAUACUGGUUCUGUUGCUAAUAUUUGCAACUCGAAACAGGGACUACGGAUCAAGCAAAGAUUGGUUAAGGACGAGGUGACGAUGCGCGUGGGAAACAGUUCCAAAGUCGAUGUGAUCGCAGUCGGCACGCUACCUCUACAUCUACCUUCGGGAUUAGUAUUAGACCUAAAUAAUUGUUAUUUGGUGCCAGCGUUAAGCAUGAACAUUAUAUCUGGAUCUUGUUUGAUGCGAGACGGUUAUUCAUUUAAAUCAGAGAAUAAUGAUUGUUCUAUUUAUAUGAGUAAUAUCUUUUAUGGUCAUGCACCCUUGAAGAGUGGUCUAUUCUUGUUGAAUCUCGAUAGUAGUAACACACAUAUUCAUAAUGUUGAAGCCAAAAGAUGCAGAGUUGAUAAUGAGAGUGCAACUUAUUUGUGGCACUGCCGUUUAGGUCAUAUCGGUGUAAAGCGCAUGAAGAAACUCCAUACUGAUGGACUUUUGGAACCACUUGAUUAUGAAUCACUUGGUACUUGCGAACCGUGCCUCAUGGACAAGAUGACUAAAACGCCGUUCUCCGGUACUAUGGAGAGAGCAACAGAUUUGUUGGAAAUCAUACAUACAGAUGUAUGUGGUCCGAUGAAUAUUGAGGCUUGUGGUGGAUAUCGUUAUUUUCUCACCUUCAUAGAUGAUUUAAGCAGAUAUGGGUAUAUCUACUUAAUGAAACAUAAGUCUGAGACAUUUGAAAAGUUCAAAGAAUUUCAGAGUGAAGUUGAAAAUCAUCGUAACAAGAAAAUAAAGUUUCUACGAUCUGAUCGUGGAGGAGAAUAUUUGAGUUACGAGUUUGGUGUACAUUUUAAAAAUUGUGGAAUAGUUUCGCAACUCACGCCACCCGGAACACCUCAGCGUAAUGGUGUGUCCGAACGUCGUAAUCGUACUUUACUGGAUAUGGUGCGAUCUAUGAUGUCUCUUACUGAUUUACCGCUAUCGUUUUGGGGAUACGCUCUAGAGACAGACGCAUUCACGUUAAAUAGGGUACCAUCAAAAUUCGUUGAGACGACGCCUUAUGAACUGUGGUUUGGCAAGAAACCAAAGUUGUCGUUUCUGAAAGUUUGCGGCUGCGAUGCUUAUGUGAAAAAGCUUCGACCUGAUAAGCUCGAACCCAAAUCGGAGAAAUGUGUCUUCAUAGGAUAUCCAAAGGAAACUAUUGGAUACACCUUCUAUCACAGAUCCGAAGGCAAGACUUUUGUUGCUAAAUUCGGAAACUUUCUGGAGAAGGAGUUUCUCUCGAAAGAAGUGAGUGGGAGGAAAGUAGAACUUGACGAGGUAACUGUACCUGCUCCCUUAUUGGAAAGUAGUACAUCACAGAAAACUGUUUCUAUGACACCUACACCAGUUAGUGAGGAAGCUAAUGAUGAUGAUCAUGAAACUUCAGAACAAGAUACUACUGAACCUCGUAGAUCAACCAGAGUAAGAUCCGCACCAGAGUGGUACGGUAAUCCCGUUUUGGAAGUCAUGCUACUAGAUCAUGAUGAACCUACGAACUAUGAAGAAGCGAUGAUGAGCCCAGAUUCCGCAAAGUGGCUUGAAGCCAUGAAAUCUGAGAUGGGAUCCAUGUAUGAGAACAAAGUAUGGACUUUGGUUGACUUGCCCGAUGAUCGGCAAGCAAUUGAGAAUAAAUGGAUCUUCAAGAAGAAGACUGACGCUGGCGGUAAUAUUACUGUCUACAAAGCUCGACUUGUCGCAAAAGGUUUUCGGCAAGUUCAAGGGAUUGACUACGAUGAGACCUUCUCACCCGUAGCGAUGCUUAAGUCUGUCCGAAUCAUGUUAGCAAUUGCCGCAUUUUAUGAUUAUGAAAUUUGGCAGAUGGAUGUCAAAACUGCAUUCCUGAAUGGAUUUCUGGAAGAAGAGUUGUAUACGAUGCAACCAGAAGGUUUUGUCGAUCCAAAGGGAGCUAACAAAGUGUGCAAGCUCCAGCGAUCCAUUUAUGGACUGGUGCAAGCCUCUCGGAGUUGGAAUAAACGUUUUGAUAGUGUGAUCAAAGCAUUUGGUUUUAUACAGACUUUUUGAGAAGCCUGUAUUUACAAGAAAGUGAGUGGGAGCUCUGUAGCAUUUCUUAUAUUAUAUGUGGAUGACAUAUUACUAAUUGGAAAUGAUAUAGAACUUCUGGAUAGCAUAAAGGGAUACUUGAAUAAAAGUUUUUCUAUGAAAGACCUCGGUGAAGCUGCUUACAUAUUAGGCAUUAAGAUCUAUAGAGAUAGAUCACGACGCUUAAUUGGACUUUCACAAACCACAUACCUUGACAAAGUUUUGAAGAAGUUUAAAAUGGAUCAAGCAAAGAAAGGGUUCUUGCCUGUGUUACAAGGUGUGAAGUUGAGUAAGACGCAAUGCCCGACCACUACAGAAGAUAGAGAGAAUAUGAAAGAUGUUCCCUAUGCAUCAGCCUAGGAUCUAUCAUGUAUGCAAUGUUGUGUACCAGACCUGAUGUGUGCCUUGCUAUAAGUCUAGCAGGGAGGUACCAAAGUAAUCCAGGAGUGGAUCACUGGACAGCGGUCAAGAACAUCCUGAAAUACCUGAAAAGGACUAAGGAUAUGUUUCUCAUAUAUGGAGGUGACAAAGAGCUCAUCGUAAAAGGUUACGUUGAUGCAAGCUUUAACACUGAUCCGGACGAUUCUAAAUCGCAAACCGGACACGUGUUUACAUUAAACGGUGGAGCUGUCAGUUGGUGCAGUUCUAAACAAAGCGUUGUAGCGGGAUCUACAUGUGAAGCAGAGUACAUAGCUGCUUCGGAAGCAGCAAAUGAAGGAGUCUGGAUGAAGGAGUUCAUAUCCGAUCUAGGUGUCAUAUCUAGUGCAUCGGGUCCAAUGAAAAUCUUUUGUGACAAUACUGGUGCAAUUGCCUUGGCAAAGGAAUCCAGAUUUCACAAGAGAACCAAGCACAUCAAGAGACGCUUCAAUUCCAUCCGGGAUCUAGUCCAGGUGGGAGACAUAGAGAUUUGCAAGAUACAUACGGAUCUGAAUGUUGCAGACCCAUUGACUAAGCCUCUUCCACGAGCAAAACAUGAUCAGCACCAAGGCUCCAUGGGUGUUAGAAUCAUUACUGUGUAAUCUAGAUUAUCGACUCUAGUGCAAGUGGGAGACUGAAGGAAAUAUGCCCUAGAGGCAAUAAUAAAGUUAUUAUUUAUUUCCUUAUAAUCAUGAUAAAUGUUUAUUAUUCAUGCUAGAAUUGUAUUAACCGGAAACAUAAUACACGUGUGAAUACACAGACAAACAAAGUGUCACUAUUAUGCCUCUACUUGACUAGCUUGUUAAUCAAAGAUGGUUAUGUAACCAUGAACAAUGAGUUGUUAUUUGAUUAACGAGAUCACAUCAUUGAGAGAAUGAUCUGAUUGACAUGACCCAUUCCAUUAGCUUAGCACCUGAUCGUUUAGUAUGUUGCUAUUGCUUUCUUCAUGACUUAUACAUGUUCCUAUAACUAUGAGAUUAUGCAACUCCCGUUUACCGGAGGAACACUUUGGGUACUACCAAACGUCACAACGUAACUGGGUGAUUAUAAAGCAGUACUACAGGUGUCUCCAAAGGUACAUGUUGGGUUGGCGUAUUUUGAGAUUAGGUUUUGUCACUCCAAUUGUCGGAGAGGUAUCUCUGAGCCCUCUCGGUAAUGCACAUCACUUAAGCCUUGCAAGCAUUGCAACUAAAUGAGUUAGUUGCGGGAUGAUGUAUUACAGAACGAGUAAAGAGACUUGUCGGUAACGAGAUUGAACUAGGUAUUGGAAUACCGACGAUCGAAUCUUGGGCAAGUAACAUACCGAUGACAAAGGGAACAACGUAUGUUGUUAUGCGGUCUGACCGAUAAAGAUCUUCGUAGAAUAUGUAGGAGCCAAUAUGGGCAUCCAGGUCCCGCUAUUGAUUAUUGACCGGAGACAUGUCUAGGUCAUGUCUGCAUUGUUCUUGAACCCAUAGGGUCCGCACGCUUAAGGUUACGAUGACUGUUAUAUUAUGAGUUUAUGCAUUUUGAUGUACCGAAGGUUGUUCGGAGUCCCGGAUGUGAUCACGGACAUGACGAGGAGUCUCGAAAUGUUCGAGACAUAAAGAUUGAUAUAUUGGAAGCCUAUGUUUGGAUACCGGAAGUGUUCCGGGUGAAAUCGGGAUUUUACCGGAGUACCGGGAGGUUACCGGAACCCCCCCGGGAGCUAAAUGGGCCAUGAUGGGCCUUAGUGGAAAAUUGAAGAGGCAGCCCUACAUGGGCCGCGCGCCCCUCCCCUCCCUUGGUCCGAAUAGUACAAGGAGAGGGGGCCGGCCCCUCUCUCUCUCUUUUCCCCCCUCCGCGAAUCCUAUUCCAACUAGGAUUGGGGGGGGGGAAUCCUACUCCCAGAGGGAGUAGGACUCUCCUGGCGCGCCCUCCUUGGCCGGCCAGCCUCCCCCCUCUAGUCCUUUAUAUACGGAGGCAGGAGCACCCAGAGAGACACAAGUUGAUCCACGUGAUCUAUUCCUUAGCCGUGUGCGGCGCCCCCAGCCACCAUAGUCCUCGAUAAUAUUGUAGCGGUGCUUAGGCGAAGCCCUGCAGCUGUAGUACGUCAAGAUCGUCACCACGCCGUCGUGCUGACGGAACUCUUCCCCGACACUUUGCUGGAUCGGAGUCUGGGGAUCAUCAUCGAGCUGAACGUGUGCUAGAACUCGAAGGUGCCGUAGUUUCGGUGCUUGAUCGGUCGGAUCGUGAAGACGUACGACUACAUCAACCAAACGCUUCCGUUGUCGAUCUACUAGGUAUGUAGAUCAUACUCCCCCUCUCGUUGCUAUGCAUCACAUGAUCUUGCGUGUGCGUAGGAAUUUUUUUGAAAUUACUACGUUCCCCAACAGGUAGUUGUACAUCUCAUAGUGGAACUUGACAGAUCCGAGGACUCCGAGGGUCGUCGUGGCACUCGUUCACGUUGUAGCCGUACAUGUACUGUGGUCGAGGUCUUGGUGGACUUGCAGGUCUUGGCGAUUUCAAAGCGUUCAUCGGUAGUAGAACUUGGCGGUCUCGAUGGUCGUCGUGGUACUUGACGUAAUCCACGCAAACGGUGCUUAUCCAAGCAUCAAUCUUGACGAAGAUGUACUUGACGAGUUACCCGAACGCGUUAGUCCUCGGACUUGGGCUCCGGAGAUGGUGUCGUGAUGGUCCUGCAGCAACAGCCUCUGCAAGGGCGUUGGGGGAGGAGAUGGUCGCGACAGAGGACGAAACCAAGGAGCAGCAGUGCGAGGAGGGCCAUGGCGGGCGUCGUGGUUGAAGGCCCGAGGUGGUUGCGGCCAGAGCAGCGUCGAGUCAGGGUGCUGGACUCACCCGAGUCAACAUGGGCGCGUGUGUCUAAGAAUGCAGCAGGCAGCAGCGAGUGAAACAGGGCAGCAACGCGCGACAAAUGGGCGGCGACCAGCUGCAAGGUCCGCUGGGCUGACUCUCUCUCUCUCUCACUCUAAAGAACAAAAGAAAAAAACAAAACAGAGAUAUGAAAGAAAAGAAAGAGAGGUUAGGGGAAAAAGUUGGACAUAUGGAUAAUUUUCACGGACUCGUAAAAAUAUGCACGGUCCACGAAAAAUAGGGGAGGCAUGAUUGCAAGGAUUUAAUUCAAAGUCAUUUGAAUUUAAUUCAGAUGAUUUGAACAAGGGCUGGGAAAUAGAGGUGUCCAAAAAUGUUCGGAUUUUGGUGGAGCUCCGGAAAAUGAUGAAAGAAAAAUAUGACAAAGUUAGAGACCAAGAGUUGAGAAGGAAAAAGGCAUGGGAUAUUUGCAAGUGUGUUAUGGUUAAUUCCAAAUAAAUGGAACAAUUUUUAUCAUAGCUCCCUAAUAGUAUUGAGAGGCUUUAAUAUGUUAUAAAGAGAAAUCACAAUGAAUUCCCUCGAUUGAAAUGGAUCAAAGAUCCAUGCCAUUUAUUUAGAUGGGUUAAGAAAAGAAAUGACAUGAUGGCAUGCUGCAAUGCACAUGAUGCAAUGAUGAAUGCAAAGAACCAAACAAAUCACACGACGAAACCCGGAAACCCUGAAAGGCAUCUGAAGCUCCGGUCUUGGGGCGUCACAGGAUGAUAGCACAUAAGCUUCACCAUGAGAACACAUAUAGUAAGAGAGCCACCUACCUGUUUGCCUCUAAUGGAGAAGUGUCAUAAUGUGGCGGUGACAAAGGCCGAGCUAACGGGAAGCCGAUGAUGAGACAUCUCCUACAAAAAGCUGCCACUAGCCAAGACGGAUCAUGGUCAAGCAGCAUGGCAACGCUCGCCACUGCUCCUACAAACGGAGGGAGCCGUGCGUGUCGGUGACAAUGUCACGAUGGACGAUGGAUUGCCACCGACUCGAUCAAUCGUCGUAGUUCCCCACAACUACACUGACAUGUCCACCAUUGCCGGAUUUCGGGGGUCAUCACCCUAGUGUUUGAGCUCUGUUUUUCCAUCGCCCAUGGUUGUCACAUUGCCAUAGUGAGAGGCCCCCUCUCUGUGCGAGAAAAGAACCCCCUCCCCCUCCGCAACCCUCUCGACCAUCUAUUUAGUAGGCUUUACCCGGUAGCAUCAUCUGAUGACGGGGAGAGGAAUAUGGUGGGAGGAGACGAUAGUAGCGGCGGUGGCUAGGUUUCACCUUUCGUCCCAAAGCUUCCCUAAGAAUGACGCGAAUGAGUUGCAUUCACAAAUAAUAAUAUUUUCUUGUUGCGGAUGAGGUGAAUGAGUGAUGCGAAUCACACCCAAAAAAAAUUCCCUCGGCGGGCAAGGAUAGUGGUAUCUCAUGAUUAAAAAAAGGGAAAUAUAUUCAAAAUCACCAUGUGGAAUGUUCCUUUUUCUUUCAGGUAUAAUAAUGCUCCUUUUUUGCAGGAUAUAUAUAUAUAUAUAGAAUGCUCCUUGUACUACACCCAGAGGAGUGCAAAAUUUUACCAAAUAUUGCAUAUUUGAACUCGUUUGCAUGCAACUCAGGGAACAAUUUGGAAGCAUCCGUGUUCAUGAAGAAAAAAUGGCAGGUGUGUAUUUCCAUUUAGAAGUGAGUGAAAGCCCACCAUGAUUAUGAUAUUCAUAAUGUUGAAGUCAUGGUUAGUCACGUCGCUGCAAAGUUCUUCAGUUCCAGAAGGCUCAGACCGGUAGUAGUUAGCAUAUUAGCAAGAAGGAUAGCUUGCUAGAACUCUACACAGACGUCAUUGUACUUGUACCCCCAGACCAAAAUAAAGGACACUGGAGAUAUGAUGGGCCGGCUGGUUCAUCUUAAACGUCAUUUCGCAACACGUGUGCAUGUUGCUGAUCUAUGUUCCCUUCAGAAGUCAAUCUGGUGUUUGGGCUCUGUUUUUGCAUUGUCCAUGGUCGUCACAUUGCCAUAGUCGGAGGCCUCCUCUCCGCGCGAGAAAAGAACCCCCCUCCCCCUCUCAUCACUCCCGACUAUCUAUUUAAUUGAUAUGAUGGGAGGAGACGAUAGUAGCGGCGGUGGCUAGGUUUCAUCUGAUGUUGCAAGCUCCAUAAGAACGACGUGAACGACUUGCAUUCACAAAUAAUAAUGUUUUCUUGUGACGGAUGAUGCGAUUGAGUGAAAACUGACUACGAGCUUGUAUGGUGCAAAUCACAUAGAAGUUUUUUUUUUCUCGAGCGGGCAAGGAUGGUUGUACGCUCCUUUUUGUUUCACGCAUAUAGAAUACACCCUUUUUCGCGGGAUAUAUAGAAUGCUCCUUGUACUACACCCGAAGCAGUACAAAAUGUUACCAAAUAUUGCAUAUUUGAACUCCUUUGUCCGCAACUCGGGGAACAAAUUGGAAGCAUACGUGUUGAUGAAGGAGAAAUGGCAGGUACGUGUGCAUUUCCAUUUAGAAGCGAGUGAAAGCCACCAUGGGCUCUUAUGAUAUUCAUCAUAAUGUUGAAGUAAUGGUUAGUCACGUCGCUGCAAAAGUUCUCCAGUUCUAGAAGUCUCAAACGGGUAGUUAGCAUAUCAUCGUGGCAGGAAGGAUAGCUUGCCAGAACUCUGCACACACGUCAUUGUUCUCCCGGACAAAAACAAUGUGCACCGGAGAUACCACGAACUACGAAUAAAAGGCCAACUGCUUCAUCUCGAACGUCAUUUCGCAACGCGUGCGCAUGUUCCUGAUCCCCGUUCCCUUCAGAAUGUCGAUAAGCCAUAUGGCGUUGACUGCAGGGACAAAACACAUCGUUGGAUGCACAUGGUAACUACGUUUUGCCUUGCAUUUUUUUCUUUCUUUUUGGAAGAACAAGUGUUCCUCCAGUGGGCUGGCCUUGGUUAAUUUAGUCUGGCCUAGCCCAUCACUGACGUGCUGCACCACGUUUUUCCAUGCCCCCGUCCGUCUCGUCUGGCCGAGUCUCCGGCCAUUAGAAAUUGGCAGAGAAUAAAAUCGCUCUCGACAAUCCAGCCACUCGCCCAAUGAAAACCGAUUGCUUGCUCGUUCAACGGCAAAAAAGAGAGAAGAAAAGAGGCCAUGGUGGCUUCAUCCCCUCACCAAAUCCACAGCCCCCCGGCUCUGACUCAACCCCGUUCGCCCAUAAGUAAAGCCACCCUCUCUCUCUAGCCGGCUAGCCCGCGCUCUCCCCCUCUCCGCGGCACGCACCAUCACUCCAUCAGACGACCCACGUACCACGUACCAGGAGGCAAGAGGAAGGAGGGAGGGCCCAGCGAAGCGACCGAAGCUGCACGCGGGCGCCAUGUCACUCCCCGGCCGCCGCAAGUCGUCGCUGGCCGGCGCCGGCGGGGGUGCGGGCGCCGGGCCGUUCGACACGCUCGGCGCGAAGCACGGCGCGCCGCGCAAGGGCGGGCGGCUGCCAGUGUACGUGGCGGGCGUCUUCUUCGUCGUCUUCGUCAUCGUCAUGUACGGCGAGGACAUCCGGUCCGUCACCCUCGAGCCGUUUGCCCGCGGCGUCGGGCCCGUCAGGCAGCAGGCGGUCGUCGUCUCGGACGCCGGCCGCGCCGCCGCCACCCCGCGGCGGGACGUGCUCUCUUCUUCCUCCACGGGGAAGAAGACCGUCGCCCCCCGGCGCGACGUGAUCGCUUCUCCGGAGAGGCCCGUCCCCGUGGCGCUGCCGCGCGACGACGGAAGAGAGAGGCCGGGGCACGCCGCGGCGAAGACAGAGACGGCGCCCGAGCAGGCGAUCCGGAAGGUCACCGCCCCCAAGGUGAAGAAGCCGAAGAAAGCGAAGAGGCCGAGGCGGCUGCGGCCGGCGAGGAAGACGGUGGCGGCGGGGGCCGUGCUGGGGUCGCCGGAGACGUGCGACCUGUCCAAGGGCGAGUGGGUGUUCGACAACGCGAGCUACCCGCUGUACCGCGAGGAGGAGUGCUCGUUCCUGACGUCGCAGGUGACGUGCAUGAAGAACGGCCGCCGCGACGACAACUACCAGAAGUGGCGGUGGCAGCCCAAGGACUGCGACAUGCCCAGGUGCGUUUCCGCUCGUCGCUCGUUCCGGCGACGACUACCCGAUCACGCCGGCGAUCGCCAUGCAUGCCCGAAAUUGGGUUGGACGCGCAUGCAUGCUCAGGCGGCGAGCUUGUUGAAACUGCAGGUUCGACGCGAAGGUUUUCAUGGAGAGGCUCCGGAACAAGCGGUUCAUGUUCGUGGGGGACUCGCUGAACCGGAACCAGUGGGAGUCGAUGGUGUGCCUGGUGCAGUCGGCCGUGUCGCCGGACAAGAAGUACGUCACCUGGGAGGACCAGCGGGUCGUCUUCCACGCCUGGGUGAGUAGCACAAAACAAUGGCCGUCCCGGCAGCAUCUCUCUCUCUCUCUCUCUCUCUCUCGACCGGCCGGUUCGUGCCCCCUACGAUGGAGAAGGAACCUUAGCCAGCCAGUUGGCCAACCAGCAGGGCCCACGGCUGCCGCAACGGUUUUUCAAAUGUGACGUCGUACGUAGUAGUACCUGUACCGUAGCCGUAGGUGGCGGCUUAGCAAGCGCACCAACUACUUGUACUACGACGACGUACGUAUUCCAUCGGUAUAGGGUGUCUUCUUGCGCCUUCUUGUGAUCAUGUCAAAUAACGUCCAUUUCUUAUCGACAACAGGAGUUCAACGCGACGGUGGAGUUCUACUGGUCGCCGUUCCUGGUGGAGUCCAACUCGGACAACCCCAAGAUCCACAGCAUCCCGACCCGGAUCAUCGACGCGGGGGCCAUCGCGGCGCACGCCCAGAACUGGCGCAACGCCGACUACCUCGUCUUCAACACCUACAUCUGGUGGAUGAACACCCUCAACAUGAAACUCAAGUACGUCUACGUGCACAACACAACACGAUCGAGAACAUGCCGUGCCGUCUCGUGCGUCGAUCGCCGGGGCAUGCACGGUCGAAGUGGUGGUAAAACUGCAUGCGCUGCGGUGACACUGAUGGACUGACAUGGAGGUUGGCUGAUGGAUGGAUUGGCAGGAGGCCGGGCGGGCGGGACUGGGAGGACCAUGAGGAGGUGGUGAGGAUCGAGGCGUACCGGAAGGUUCUCAGCACCUGGGCCGGCUGGGUGAACGACAACAUCGACCCGGCGCGCACGUCCGUCUUCUUCAUGAGCAUGUCCCCUCUUCACCUCAGGUACCGUACCCUACCCUGCCUACCCCCGUAGUAGUUUUCUAUUCUGUUCCACUGUAGAUAAGUCGUUUUUGUUCUUCUGGUGGUAGUCAGUACGCACACCUACGCGCACCUGCACCGUAGUUCCUAGGAAACGCCGAAAUCUCGACACGCGCGCAUGGCGGCGACGGCCAAAAAGACGAGGCCGGCAGCGCGUGGUGCGUACCGGGUGUCUGCACCGGUGCACGCGUCGGGCCGCGGCCGGGAAGUGCAGACGCGCACGGGCUGGUGGUCUAGUGCGGUUUCCGGGGCCGGACGGCGCGCGCGCGCGCGGGAUUGGAAGUUGGAACGAGUCGGGCGGGCGCGUCGCGUCGAGCGGGUCGGUCGCCGUCUUGGGAGAAAAUGGAAGCGACAGACAGUCGUGGCAGACCCGGUCCGGCGGCGUGCUCGCUUGAAUAUUCCCAGGCGACGUGGAAGUACCAGCAGGUUUUUAUUUUUAGUUGCAAAAAAAGUAGGCUUCUGUUUUUUUGGGGUGAUGGCGCGGUAUAUAUCCCGUCGACGGAGCAGCCGGCCGGGUCGUGCAGCAUUCUCUAGGUGCGGUGCGACUAGCAGAGCAUGUACGUACUGGAUGGAAUGGAACACAUGGCCUCACGUUGCCCACCCGCUCGUUGACCCUCUCUGUACGCAUGUGGAUGUGGUAGCAUACUCUUGUACUAGUAGUUGGUGUAACGGAUACCGUUGUACGUGUAGUUUAGUGAGCCAGUUAGGAUAUACGUACUUUUUUUUUGAACAUGUUAGGAUAUACGUACUGCGCCAUUAGUUUACACAUGCAUGGUUUGAUAUUCCAAACAGCGUGGUGCUAUAUGCUAAUGCUAGUAGAAUAAAGUAAGCACAGGGUACAUGCACUAACCGUCUAAUCUACAGUCACAAGGAAUGCCACCCCACCAGUAAGGUGCAUGCAUAAUGCCACUGCCACCGGAGUUUUCAAAUAGUCCCUACUCCAUUGGGAUCGCCAACGGAGUAUACUAGUACUAGAGUACUCCCUCUGUUUUUAUUUAGUCUGCAUAUUAGGUUUGAUUGAAGUCAAACUUUGCAAAGUUUGACCAAGUUUAUAGAAAAAUAUAUAAACAUUUGCCAUAACAAAUAUAUAUGAUGUGAAAGUACAUUCAAUAAUGGAUCUACUGGUAUUGAUUUUUUAUUGUAUAUAUUAAUAUUUUUGUUUAUAAACUUAGUCAAAACUUACAAAGUUUGACUUUGACCAAAGCUAAUAUGCGGACUAAAUAAAAACAGAAGGAGUACUACGUAUACGUAGUACUUCUGUAAACCACGGUAGCUCGGUAUGCAUGUCGUGACCAGCACUGCAGGGAGCAGUACAAUAUGCGCAAAUCGUGUACGUACACGUCUUUUUAGAUGCCACUUGGGGUGGAAUCUACGCGGUCAAAACGAUCGACGUGCGUCACAACUCGCAGCACACAAGCGGACUUGGUAAACUCCUUUACAAAAGUCCAAGGAGAAGAUGCUCCUCCAAUGGAGCGGGGUAGUUGCUCCCCUCUCGUUGUCGCCCAAGCAGCACUCUCAGAAAUUAAUAAUGGAGAACUACGUACUCGAUAGGACCCUAGGAAGGAUACAUUAUACAUACAUGUACAUGCAUGGGUAUGACCAUGUAGUAUAAUUCUGCGUACCUGUCAAUCACAUGGACCCUCGGCCUCGGCUCAAAUCAUUCCGCGCACAUGAAUCUUAGACGGAAGCUUCCGUCGUCGCGAACGAGUCCCGGCCCCGUACAUGGUGCACCAAUCAUGCAUUCCAUGCGCCAGCGACGUACUACUGGUCUCGUGUGCUCGUAACCGGCCGUGUUGGUGCUUCGUGGGACGUGGAAUAGUCUUGGACGCCCCUGCCAAUGAUCGUUCCGAGCAGGUUCCGAGUGAUCGUCCCGUGACCGCGAGUUUCGGAUCUUGGAACGGACGACGCAUUUUUUAGGACAAGUAGCCGGAUGCGGGUAGUUCCAGCAGCGUUUUGGGGUUUUCCUUCUGCGUGGUAAUCCAAUUAUUCCUGGCUAUAAGGAUCAAACAGACGGUUGUGUUGUGUUGUGUUGGUUACCUAGCGACUACCGGAGUGGCUUGAUAAGGACGUGCGGUGGACAUGGCCCUGGGAUGACGCCUCACGAAAGCUCCCCUAAACCUUUUAGAAAAGCAGCGUGACCCCAUCCUGAGAUUGAUGGAUACUCCUAUAUGUUUAGUUCCCGUGAAGCAAACCACUUUGAUUUGCCUUGGUGUUUUUAUAUAGUCAGCGAUCCUAUUUAGUAGUGGUAGUGUGUGAGAAGAUAUGGUGCAACCGGAGAAACUGCCAUGGCGACCGGUGAAUGCAUGAGCAAACCAAUCAGCUUCAGAGGCUACUAGCUAUGCCACGUUAUUUUGCGUGUUCAGCAAUCCCGAAGUUGUUAAGUAUUUUCAAUCGGGAUUGCGUCCACGAUCGAGCGAGUUGAUGAAGUCUCUGGCUAGCUUAGAGUUGGAGGCAUGUCGCAUCAAAAGACGUACACAGCUAAAGUUGGUCAACAACACUAUUUUACGUGAAGAUAGAAUCACAGAACUGGAUUAGAGUAGUUGGGUUGCGUGAUCGACUCAUGCUGCGAAUCCGCUAGAGCUAGCGUGCUCCACAGAAGAAGAGUAAUAGUAUCAAGUUCUAGUACUAUGAUUAUUAACUGGUUCUAUAACUCUGUUGGAAAUUGACUGGGGCUUUUUUUGGGUGUGAAAAACAGCCCGCAGGUGUGGGGAAACCCUAACGGGAUCCGGUGCGCGAAGGAGACGAUGCCGCUGGUGAACUGGCGCGGGCCGAUAUGGCUGGGCACGGACUGGGACAUGUUCAAGGUGGCGUCCAACAUCACCCGGGCGGCGGCGCCGCGGGUGCCCAUCACCUUCGUGGACAUCACCACCAUGUCGGAGCGGCGCAAGGACGGGCACACCUCCGUGCACACCAUCCGGCAGGGCCAGAUCCUCACGCCGGAGCAGCAGGCCGACCCCGGCACCUACGCCGACUGCAUCCACUGGUGCCUCCCCGGCGUGCCCGACAUCUGGAACAGCUUGCUCUACACCAGGAUCAUGUCCAGGCCGGACGCCGCCACGGCUGCUCUCACGGCCAGAUAGAUAGAUACAUGUUGGGAAUUUCUGUCGAUUCGAAAAGUUCUUUCUUCUUCUUCUUCUUCUUCUUUUUUCUUUACAUUCUUUCUGGCCUGUUUAGUUUUUACGUGUCAAAUACGCCAGCUUUGUUUUCUUUCUUCUUUCGUUGGGGGUAGGUUAAGUAAGUGGAAAGAGAUUAAUUAUAUAAGGUGAUACAUGGCUCGUGGCCUGCCACGUGCGUGCACAUAUGCGCUGUAAGGGGGAGGUUCCUGCUCAAACUGUAAAUUCUGAAGUCAAAGAGAUGAACAGAACAGAUGGUUUAUAGAGAAAUGGGCAGUUGCGUCCGUGCCUCCAGCUGCACUGCACAGCCGUCUUGCGGCGCCUCGAUCUGUCCGCGAGCUCGUUUCUUUGGCAAGAUCGACGUCGCCAGCUCUCCGGCUUAUUCUCUUCUUUUCUAGGGCAGAAGAUCAAAAAGGGAAGGGAGCAGGAAGCGCCUUUUGGCGAUCAUUCCAUGGAUGAUUUACCUGAAAAAGGCGGGCAGCAACAAAAACAAUGGGCGCCACUUGGCUGAACUUGACAGAGCUAGUAGUUAACUGACUGACGACAGUGUGCAUGCAGGUCCGGAAAUGUCCGGGCUGCCUUUCGCCUUCUUUCUGGCAGCAAAGCUCCCGUAUCUCUUUGGCCCGGAUCGGGCGUUGCGACAGGUACCGAACGUGAAUCGUGGCACCAACUUGUGGUACUUUUUUUUUUAGCAUCAGUACAGACACAAACGCUUAUAUACACGCGCAUACAUUCACUCCUAUGAACGCAUACACGCACACCCUAUCCCUAUGAGCACAUCCGAGAGAUUGAGCCGGCAUAUCAUCUUGAGAUUUACGAAGUCACGUAGACGCCUCAUCGUCGACGGGAACGCCUCCUCCCACUGAAAGCGCAUCGUUGGAAAUCCUGAAAUAAAUCCAGGAAUAAUGCGAGCACCAGGAAAAUCCAGGAAUAAUGCGAGCACCAGGAUUUGAACCCUGGUGGGUUGAGGAUGCCACUGUCCACCUAACCAACUCAACCACAGGUUGAUUCGCACCAACUUGUGGUACUACAACGUAGAGAACGGAGCAGCGACGUCUCUGGCAAGUGGCUGGCGCAGGGGUAGCCCUGGUGCCUGCUAUAUGAGAGGCGUUGGUUUUUUUUAAAACAUGGAAAAAGAUUGGAAAUGAAACCGAAUUCGUAUUCAUGUCCACUACAGUUUCAUGGCUGAAUUGGAAAUGAAACCAAUUCAAUACGGAGGCCUUCAAUACAGACAUCUAAACACAGCGUAAAGGAAGAGGUUGCAAGCAAGCAAAUGGAGCUCCUCCCUAAGGUUGUGAUGAUCCAAUCCAUUAACUGUUCUUCUUUAACUUGCGUUUCCACCAUCUUUGAUAAGAUUGUUCUAGUCCCUAUCGGUGGCGGAGCUACAUGGAUUCUGCUGGAGGGGCCAAAAGCUAAAAAAGUUUUCAUNNNNNNNNNNNNNNNNNNNNNNNNNNNNNNNNNNNNNNNNNNNNNNNNNNNNNNNNNNNNNNNNNNNNNNNNNNNNNNNNNNNNNNNNNNNNNNNNNNNNNNNNNNNNNNNNNNNNNNNNNNNNNNNNNNNNNNNNNNNNNNNNNNNNNNNNNNNNNNNNNNNNNNNNNNNNNNNNNNNNNNNNNNNNNNNNNNNNNNNNNNNNNNNNNNNNNNNNNNNNNNNNNNNNNNNNNNNNNNNNNNNNNNNNNNNNNNNNNNACAGCCACCCCAGCACAACACAUAGCUCCGCCGUUGGUCCCUAUCUCUUGGCCCCCAAAUUUUAUUGUGUCCAUCCAACAUACUGUAACCUUGAUAUAUGAGAACCUAUAGUGCUACAGAGAGAGGAACUUAUUGUAUCCCAUAUUUAAUUAUAGUGGAACAAUAAUUGUGUGGUGGCUUCGACCCAUGGUUUUUACCCCUAACUUGGGGUUUUCUGUUUAAAUACGAAUGUUCAUCUCUGCCGACUUAUGUACUUUUUGUUUGGUUUCGCGUGGCAAGAAACACUUUGAAUAUGUAUGUUUGAUUUGGAGUGUUGGAGAAACUGAAAAAUGUAUUAAGUUUCGGGUAACCAAACUUAGUUUUUAGAUACAGGCACAUAUGUUCCCUUCCGUAACUGAGCAACGAUAUGUGGAUUACUUUAUUUUUUGCUUUAUCAACAAGACACAACAAGAAAAUUACGGGGUAGCACGAAUACGCAGUUUGCUCUAUCCAAGGUAGCCAGAAUCAUGAUUCCGUAUUGGAAUGGAGCUCUAGUAGUAGGAUCACAAAUCGCAGAAUCGUAACUAUAGGAAUGAUAGGAACGUGGAUACCAAAAUCGUAGAAUUGCAGAAGUAGUUUGGAUCGUACAGUUGUAGAAUCGUGUAAUAGAAUCACGAUUCUUACUACCUUAGCUUUAUUGACCGAAAGAAUCAGGCUUCACACCUGUUAAAAAAUCAGGCUUAUUAUGAUGUAAUGAGUCAUGCUAGUCCGAUUGGGAAAUUGAUGUAAUGAGGUCACCGGUCGUUCUUGUUUCAAUCUUGUGGCGGACAAUGUUACUUUUCUAGAAAUGAACACAUGAUGGUGCAUCCAAUUAUGCGUGCAAAUCUUAAAACAGUGACAAUUAGCAAUUUUCGUGGGGCACAUUGUCCGCUCCCAGACACUUUCCCAGGGGACGACACAAUAGUUUGCUCACAUACACCUUCCCGAUGGUACAACCACUAUGUAGCAUAACACCCCCUCGAUGUAGGCAAACACUUGAGGAAUUAUGUAGGGUACCUACUCUGCGUAGCAUGAAAAUCUCAUGUUUUAGUAUGAUCAUUCCUGAACAUGUGGGCAACUCCCCCCUUUUUUAUUAGCCUUACAACUAUGUCUGUUGAAGCAUGGCAAAUUCCAAGAAUGCAUCACAAUUCUCAGGUUCUGAGCACUAAUAAGGUAAAAGCGGAAACAACCAUGAGUGUGCUCUAAGCCAUUAGAUAGGAUAACACUAGAUCAAAUACAUAACUACAUAUUACAUGUCAAAUAAUAAGUCAAUGACAAAUAAUAUAGGACAACACUACAACACAUGUCCCAUUGAACCGGGGACGGAGUGUGAUGUGCCUGAGGCUACUAAAGGGGAGGCCUGUUUUAAGGUUUCUUGCCACAGGGGUCCGGCCCUAUUAAUCGCUAGAUUCCUGAUUAAUCGUUUGUUAGAGCGAUAAAUCAACCCAAAUGAUAAAUAUCAAAGAUAAGGUAAAAUACUAGCGAUCACCUACCAAUAAGCGAUAAAUUGGUGAAUCAUAUGUUAAUUUGAACAUUGCUGGAAACUAAAAAACUAAUAUGAGUAUGCAUUCGCAGGUUCACACAGAUAGAUAAAUAGGAAUAUUUUGUGUGUGGAGAUACAUAACUUUCUUUAGUGGUAGGGAUAUAUCUCUACUCUCUAGUACUUAAGAAAGAUGUAAGGUCCCUUUUCUGUGAGGCAGAAGACUUCAUCUAACCUUAUAUAUGCCCCCCUUUCUCUCCCUACUUUUUAUUUUUAGUCCCUAUCUUUGAAAAUCAUCUUAAAUGUCCCAUCUUUUAUCGGCUUACAAAUAAAAUUAUGCUUUCUUUGGUAAGCCAAUAAAUUCUCACCAAAUGAGUAAUUAUCAAAUAAAAAAAUUAGGUACGUAAAUCCCGGGCAUAAUUUAAUGAAUAUUUAUUUACACAAUCACAUUAAUAUGGAUAGGUAAUCAUCAUACGUGAUAGAAUAUUUAUAUCUCGUUUCAAAGCAUGGUAAUUAUCUAGUCAUAUACGUAGUAUAUAGGUUAACAAAGUUUUAAAGGUGGAACAAGAAUUCCGGAGGAACAAGUAUUUUUGGAAGUCAAUUUUUGGCAUGGUGUUCCUAGCGGGCCUUAGCCCCCUUUCAAUUGCUGCUUCUUAUCACAAUUUUACUAGCGGGCUAAGGCCCAAUUUGAGUGGUUCUCCUGGGCCUCAAAAAGAAUCCAAGUUAUAUUUCUGGCAUGGUGUUCCUUUUUAUUCUGAAAACAAAAAUUUAUUUGCGACCUCAACCUUCUACCUCUCUUUCGCAGACCUCUCUUUGAACAAACAAUUGACCACACUCGAUGAAGUUGCAAAUUUGUUUCCCAAUUAUUUUCCAUGCUCAUCUAGAAUUUUCUUCUAAGUUUUUUCCUACUCUGAUUUGUAUUUAUAUUAUGGUCUUCUAGUUUUUCUCAUUUUUAUAUUUCCUUUUUAUCUUUUGUUUUUCCUAUUAAAAAUUACAAAAACUUUUUUAAAAAAUUUUCCAGAACAUUUAGCAACUUACAUAUUUUUAAAAUCCUUGAACAAUUUGUAAAUAACACUAACCUUUUAGAAAAAUAUAAACAUCUUAAAUAUAUACAUGAAUAAUUUUUAAAAUUAUCCAAAAACUUUCGAAAAUAAAUAAAUAUUUUUGAAACAUUCAUGUAAUUUUAAAAUAUUUCAACACUUACUAAGCCAACACAAACAUAUUUUUUAAAUGCAUGGUACUUUUCAAAAUUAUAAAUGCACAAAAGGUUUUCAAAAGUGUACAAAUAUUUACACAAAAAACUUUCAAAAAUUGAACGGUCAUUUUUCUAAUGUUUUUUUUCUUCAAACACGAAAGUAUUUUACUUCUUUUCAUUUUUAAACUAUUGUUUUCCUUUGUGUUUUUUAAAAUAUACGAAAUGAAACUCCAUUGGGCCGCAUGGAUCCCUACCCAUACUUUGUACCACUUACGCGAAUUUUCUUUUUAGUAUUGUAUGUUUUUCUCCAUCUGCUUUUAAUUUUUGGUUUACUAUUUUUUACUUCAUAUUUUUUCAUUUAUUUUAUUUUUGAAAUACAUGUGAGACUUUUAUUAAUAUGCAUUCAGUUUUUUUGUACAUGUAAUUUUUCAGAUACAUGUUAAUGUUUUUCAAAUACACGUUGAACAAUUAUUUGAAUACAUGUUGAACAUUUGUGAAAUGUACAUUGAACAUAUUUCGUGGACACAGUGAACAUUUUUAUCUUCAUUUUUUUGUAAAAUGAUAGUGCAACUUAUUUGUGGCACUGCCGUUUAGGUCAUAUUGGUGUAAAGCGCAUGAAGAAACUCCAUGCUGAUGGGCUUUUGGAAUCACUUGAUGCUUGCGAACCAUGCCUCAUGGGCAAGAUGACUAAGACUCCGUUCUCCGGAACAAUGGAGCGAGCAACUGACUUAUUGAAAAUAAUACAUACUGAUGUAUGCGAUCCGAUGAGUGUUAAGGCUCACGGCAGGUAUCGUUAUUUUCUGACCUUCACAGAUGAUUUAAGUAGAUAUGGGUAUAUCUACUUGAUGAAACAUAAGUCUGAAACAUUUGAACAGUUCAAAGAAUUUCAGAGUGAAGUGAAAAAUCAUCGUGACAAGAAGAUAAGGUUUCCACGAUCUGAUCACGCAGACAAAUAUUUGAGUUACGAGUUUGGUCUACAAUUAAAACAAUGUGGAAUAGUUUCACAAAUUCGUACCACCUGGAACACCACAACAUAAUGGUGUGUCCAAACGUCAUAACCGUACUUUAUUGGAUAUAGUACAAUCUAUGAUGUUUCUUACCGAUUUACCACUAUCGUUUUGGGGUCAUGCAUUAGAGACAGCUGCAUUCACGUUAAAUAGGGCACCAUCAAAAUCCGUUGAGACGACACCGUAUUAACUGUAUUUUGGCAAGAAACCAAUGUUGUCGUUACUUAAAGUUUGGGGUUGCGAUGCUUAUAUGAAAAAGUUUCAUCCAGAUAAGCUCAAACCCAAAUUGGAGAAGUGCGUCUUCAUAGGAUACCCAAAAAGAAAAUGUUGGGUACACCUUCUAUCACAGAUCUGAAGGCAAGAUAUUUUCAGAGUGGGAGGAAAGUAGAAAACUUGAUAAGGUAAUUGUACCUUCUCCCUUAUUGGAAAGUAGUUCAUCACAGAAAUCUGUUCUUGUGACUACUACACCAAUUAGUGAGGAAGCUAAUGAUGAUGAUCAUGUAACUUCAGAUCAAGUUACUACCGAAUCUCGUAGGUAAACCAGAGUGAGAUCCGCACCUGAGUGGUACGGUAAUCCUGUUCUGGAAGUCAUGUUACUAGACCAUGACGAACUUGCGAACUACGAGGAAGCGAUGAUGAGCCCAGAUUCCGCGAAAUGGUUUGAGGCCAUGAAAUCUGAGAUAUGAUCCAUGUAUGAGAACAAAGUAUGGACUUUGAUGGAUUUGCCCGAUGAUUGGCAAGCCAUAGAAAAUAAAUGGAUCUUCAAGAGGAAGACGGACACUGAUAGUAGUGUUACUAUCUACAAAGCUAGAAUUGUCGCAAAAGGUUUUCGACAAGUUCAAGGUGUUGACUACGAUGAGAGUUUCUCACUCGUAUCUAUGCUUAAGUCUGUCCGAAUCAUAUUAACAAUUGCCGCAUUUUAUAAAAUCUGGCAAAUGGAUAAAAAAACUGCAAUCUUUAAUGGAUUUCUUAAAGAAGAGUUGUAUAUGAUGCAACCAGAAGGUUUUGUCAAUCCUAAAGGUGUUAACAAAAUAUGCAAGCUCCAGCGAUCCAUCUAUGGACUGGUGCAAGCAUCUCGGAGUUGGAAUAUACGCUUUGAUAAGUUGAUCAAAGCAUAUAGUUUUAUACAGACUUGCGGUGAAGCCUGUAUUUACAAGAAAGUGAGUGGGAGCACUACAGCAUUUCUGAUAAGUAUAUGUAAAUGACAUAUUAUUGAUCGAAAAUAAUGUAGAAUUAUUCUGCAAAGCAUAAAGGAGUAUUUGAAAGGAGUUUUUCCGAAGAAGGACCUCGGUGAAGCUGCUUACAUAUUGAGCAUCAAGAUCUAUAGAGAUAGAUCAAGAUGCUUGAUAAGUUUUUUCAAUGAGUACAUACCUUGACAAGAUUUUGAAGUAAGUUCAAAAUGAAACAGUCAAAGAAAGAGUUCUUGACUGUGUUAUAAGGUGUGAAAUUGAGUAAGACUCAAAGCCCGUAGGGUCCGCACGCUUAAGGUUUCGAUGACAGUUAUAUUAUGAGUUUAUGAGUUUUGAUGUACCGAAGUUAGUUCGGAGUCCCGGAUGUGAUCAGGGACAUAACGAGGAGUCUCAAAAUGGUCGAUACAUAAAGAUUGAUAUAUUGGACGGCUAUAUUCGGACACCGGAAGUGUUCCGGGUGAUUUCGGAGAAAACCGGAGUACCGGAGGGUUACCGGAACCCCCCCGGGAGAAGUAAUGGGCCAUAUGGGCGUUAGUGGAGAGCGAGAAGGGCAGCCAGGGUGGGCCGCGCGCCUCCUCCCCUGGUCUGAAUUGGACUAGGAGAUGGGGGGGGGGGGCGCCCCCCUUUCCUUCUCCCUCCCCACUUCCUUCCCCCUCCUAGUAGGAGUCCUACUCCUACUAGGAGGAGGACUCCUCCUUGGCGCGCCUAUAGGGCUGGCCGGCCUCCUCCCCUUGCUCCUUUAUAUACGGGGGCAGGGGGCACCCCUAGACACACAAGUUGAUCCACGUGAUCGUUUUCUUAGCCGUGUGCGGUGCCCGCUUCCACCAUAAUCGUCGAUAAUAUUGUAGCGGUGCUUAGGCGAAGCCCUGCGGCGGUAGAACAUCAAGAUCGUCACCACGCCGUCGUGCUGAUGGAACUCUUCCCCGACACUUUGCUGGAUCGGAGUCCGGGGAUCGUCAUUGAGCUGAACGUGUGCUAAAACUUAGAGGUGCCGUAGUUUCGGUGCUUGAUCGGUCGGGCCGUGAAGACGUACGACUACAUCAACCGCGUUGUGCUAACACUUCCGCUGUCGGUCUAUAAGGGUACGUAGAUCACACUCUCCCCUCUCGUUGCUAUGCAUCACCAUGAUCUUGCGUGUGCGUAGGAAUUUUUUUGAAAUUACUACGUUACCCAACACAAUUGACCGGGUUAAAGAUUAACUUUCAUAAGAGCGAGUUGUUCUGCUUUGUUAGAGCCAAAGAAGAACAGGAGGCUUAUAGGCAAUUGUUUGGGUGCGAGUUGGGGGAUUUACCUUUCUCUUACCUAGGUAUACCAAUCCACCAUCACAAGCUGACAAACAGAGAAUGGAAGUGCAUCGAAGACCGGUUCAAGAAGAAACUGAGUUGCUGGAAGGGCAAGCUCAUGUCAUACGGAGGCCGAUUAAUUCUGAUAAAUCCCGUGAUCACGAGUAUGCUUAUGUUUCUCUUAUCGUUCUUUAAAGUCCCAGUUGGUGUCAGGAAAAGACUGGACUUCUAUCGAUCGCGUUUCCUCUGGCAGGGUGAUGAACUCAAAAGAAAAUACCAGCUAGCUAAAUGGGAUAUCAUCUGUAGACCGAAAGACCAAGGGGGUCUUGGUAUUGAGAAUCUUGAAGUUAAGAACAGAUGCCUUCUCAGUAAGUGGCUGUGGAAGCUGUCAUCAGAGACUGAUGCCACGUGGCCGCAAAUCCUUCAUAGCAAGUACCUACAGACAAAAACUUUGUCCCAGGUUGCAGUCAGGCCGACCGACUCGCCUUUCUGGAAAGGACUGAUGAAAGUCAAACAAUCCCUGUUUAACAGGACAAAGUUUAUUGUUGGCAACGGUGCUAGUACGCGUUUCUGGGAGGAUACAUGGCUCGGAGAGACACCCUUGGCCAUUCAAUAUCCGUCUUUAUAUCGUAUUGUUCAACGGCGUGAGGUGUUCGUUGCAACGGUAUUUCAAUCUACCCCCCUUAAUAUUCAGUUCAGACGGUCACUAGCGGGCAAUCGUUGGGAAGAAUGGCUCCGUCUAGUUAGGAGAAUGAUGGAGGUUCAGCUUUCUCAACAACCCGAUGAAUUACGCUGGAAGCUGACUAGGUCUGGAGUAUUCACAGUUAAAUCAAUGUAUAUUGACGUUAUUAAUUCGAGCUCCAUUCCUACCUCCAAGCAUGUUUGGGCUGUCAAGAUUUCUUUAAAAAUAAAAGUGUUUAUGUGGUUUGUCUAUAAACAAGUUAUUUUAACAAAUAACUACUUGAUAAAGCGUAAUUGGACAGAAACUACUAGGUGUAGUUUCUGUGGUCGGGAUGAAACGAUUAAACACCUCUUUUUUGAUUGCCCGUUGGCCAAAGUCCUUUGGCGGACGGUUCACAUUGCGUUUAAUAUUACUCCACCGAAUUCUGUCAACACGUUAUUUGGAACAUGGCUUAAUGGAAUUGAGUCUACUUAGCGAGACAUAUUCGUGUUGGAGUUUGCGCUUUGUUGUGGACUAUCUGGAAUUGCAGAAAUGAUUUAGUUUUUAACAGAAUACUCCCUCCGUCCGCGAAUAAGUGUACUUCUAGCUUUUGUCUUAAAUCAAAGUUUUGUAAUUUUGACCAACUAUAUACAAAAUAGUAAUAACAUAUAUGACAUCAAAUUAAUAUAUUAUGAAAGUACAUUUCAAAAUAGAUCUAGUGAUAUUAAUUUAGUGUCAUAAAUGCUAGUACUUUUUCCUAUAAAGCUGGUCAAAGUUCUAAAACUUUGACCUAGGACAAAAGCUAGAAGUACACUUAUUCACGGACGGAGGGAGUAUCACGUAUUUACUUUUUGCAGGUUAUUUUUCGAGCCACGACAGUGAUCCGUUCGUGGUCGCUACUCACUCCGAUGGAGGCCAGAGAGCAUUUGGUUACUGGAUCUGUCCGUUGGGAGAUGGUAGCUCAGGAUAUCAUCAACCGGUUUGGAUGGCGUCAUGUAAUAGGAUAGGCAAUUAGUUUACCUAUCUAUCUUUAGCCAGCCGGUUGUGACAUCUUUUCUUGGCUAGUCUGUGUAUCUAGCCCAUUUUGGCUCUGUGUGAGCUAUCUUUUCAGUUUUUCCAGUUGGAGACUUUGGAACUUGUUGGAUCUUUUAUUUGGUUAAUAAGAUGGCCGUAUGCAUAUUUUUGAUGCAGAGGCCGGGGCAAUCUCUUUUCAAAAAAAAAAGAUAUGAUGCAAACGGGGUAGGGAAGGAUGCAGCUCGUUUUACUAUUAUUGAUGUGGGCAAUAUCAAACGCCCGUAAAAACUCACUGAUAUGCAAAUUAACCAAGGAAAAUAACUAAGCAAAAAUGAUCCGUUCAAAGACAAAAAAACACUCAACAAAAAUGAUCCGUCGUCGCCGCCAAUCAACCAUGCCUGAACACUGGCACGCACGUGCAACAGCCAUCGGUCAGGGCAAUGGAAAUUGGCGGCGAGGCUCCAAUGUCAGUCGCAGUGUCGCUGAGCGGCGCAGUUCCGAACUUGCUGCCGCGAGUGGCACUGUGGCAGGGUCGAUCAGACAGCUUCGCUCGCGUCCACAGUUUUGACGGUGGAGGUGUCGGCGAGAAGCGAGCCCCGGCACAGCGGGCAGCUGGGAUGCGAGCACAGCCACGCGUCCACGCACUCCGGGUGGAAGCAGUGUCCGCACCGCGGCAGCGCCUUCACCCUCUCGCCGUCCGCGAACUCGCCGAGGCAUAUCGGGCACUGCGUCUCGUCGUCCUCGCGGCCAGGGGACGCCGACGGAGGACGACGGUAUGGCGUCACGGGCAAGCCGGCUAUCGCGGCAGCGUCGAGGCCAGCCACCGCGGAGGGGGCGCCGGGCGCCGCAGCGGAGGACGACGGCGACGAGGAGGGGUAGGAAAACGAGAUGGGAAGCGUCGCGUCGGCGUUGUACCGGCGGCACACCCAGCGGAGGUAGACGCAGACGCCCACGAAGAAGACGAGGACGGCGAAGAGCGUCGCAAGCAGCGGCACGCCGCGCCCGCCGCGCACCGAGAAGUUGCCGUCGUCCACGUCGCCGUAGCGCCACCGCAGCGCCUGCGACGCCUCCUGCGCGGCCAUGCCACUGCUUCCUCUUCCUCUUCCUCCUCGACCGUUUCCUUCUCUGCCGUGGCGGGACAAAACUAAGCGCGCGCGCGCGGGCGUUGGCUGCACGUCGGCACGGGCUGCGUGGCUUCCGUGGGCCUNNNNNNNNNNNNNNNNNNNNNNNNNNNNNNNNNNNNNNNNNNNNNNNNNNNNNNNNNNNNNNNNNNNNNNNNNNNNNNNNNNNNNNNNNNNNNNNNNNNNNNNNNNNNNNNNNNNNNNNNNNNNNNNNNNNNNNNNNNNNNNNNNNNNNNNNNNNNNNNNNNNNNNNNNNNNNNNNNNNNNNNNNNNNNNNNNNNNNNNNNNNNNNNNNNNNNNNNNNNNNNNNNNNNNNNNNNNNNNNNNNNNNNNNNNNNNNNNNNNNNNNNNNNNNNNNNNNNNNNNNNNNNNNNNNNNNNNNNNNNNNNNNNNNNNNNNNNNNNNNNNNNNNNNNNNNNNNNNNNNNNNNNNNNNNNNNNNNCCCGCCGCCCGGAUCUCGCGCCAAAAGUGGCCAUUUCCUCUUACAGGUUUGACGAGUGCCGUAUCCCGGGUAAUUCAACGUGGCAGCGACUGUCCGUGCGAUGGCGUUCAUGGAGAGUGGGGCUCGACAGGGACCCGAAAGAGAAUUAGAAUAUAAAAUGAUGGCUCACGCAGGCGAUUAAGUUGUUCUUAGCUUGCAAAACUUGCAUUUCUGGAAGCAUCUUAGUCCGUCGAUGUUCCUCCUUAUCAAGGCCCUGUGGCUGUCACGAGGUCGCGCCAGUACGCCAUUACGAUGCUGUUUGCACAGAACCACGGAACCAGAGCGUGCUGGUAGUUGAAGCAAGGAACCAUCUCGACGGACGGCCGGGGAUUAAUCAGUGUAUGGGGUCGUUUUCACCGUAAGGUUAUCUGUAUGUAUAUAUAUGCGCAUAAAACUGGGUGUUCUGUUUUCAUGCGUGUACUCCAUACAUAUACUCUCCAGAAAGUUCGUAUGGCAUCGGAGUUAGCAAGGUUCAGUGGACGUGGGCUACUCCUACUAUGUACACGAACAAAUACUUGGGCACGCCAAGGCCGAAGGAAGAACCUACUAGUAUAUUUUUGGUAUUUCCGAGCUCAAAAGAAGCCAUUCACAUGGAAAGAAAUACUGUAACGCCACAUGUUUAACCUCUUGGCACAUGGGCGAUGGUAACAAACGGCAGAAAGAGAAGUAGGCACUGCGCCAAAUUGCUGGAGCUGACGCGAUACAAUUGUCAAAGCCAUGAUAUACACCGGUGUACAGAUCGGGGCAUGCACGCACACUCCUUUGACAGGGAAGUAGUGUCAAGAAAAAGUAUCAUAUGGUAAGAUGGCACAAGGUUUUUUUUAUUUUGGAAAUAAAAAAAUCGGACCUCACUGAAAUAUGUGAAAUUUCUGAAAUUUCGCAUAUUCUGGAAAUUAUUUCGAAUUUUGAGAUUUCAAAUUUCACUUAAUUUAAUGAAUUUUGACAUAAUUUAAAUUUAUUUUAAAAUCAGUUUGAAAAUGCCUCAAAAUUUCAGGGUUAAAAAUAUUUUCAGACCCCACUGAAACAUGCGAAAUUUCGUUGAAAUUUUUAACCCUCCAUGUAGAAUGUUGGCACAAGAAAAAAAGUGGAGUGGGCGUUAAUACAAGGUUGAAAAUUGAAUUCAUCCGAUAAAAGACACAGUUAGGGCCAAUCCAUGCUGGGCUGGUUUAAUCAGAGGCUGGGUUAGGUGCCUAGGUUGUGAGGUGUGACCGAGAGACUGAUUUAGUUUUCAACAAUAAGACUAUAAAACUGUUAAACAGAUGGUGGAUGGAACCCGACCUUCAAGAGAUAUCCGAGUUAAAUAGAAUGAAAAAUAUGUGCAAGAUGUUAACCUUGCCAUUGGAUGGGGAUGAUGCACCUAGAUGGUCUUGGAAUAAAAGUGGCAUGUUCAGUGUAGAAACCUACGUAUAACCAUCUACCAAAUGAUAGUCCCGAUAGAUCGUUUAAACAUCUAUGAAAGGCUAAAAUCCCCUUGAAAUCAAAAUAUAGCUUUGGUUGAUAUGGCACAGUGCCAUUGCCACCAAGCACAACAUGAUCAAAAGGAAGUGGGUUCACGACCCUUUGUGUCGCCUUUACCUAGAUCCCAUGAAUAUUCAUCAUUUGUUUUUACCGUUCUGCUGGCAAGCAUGCAUGGAGUGUGAUCUGUAGAUGCAUUGAUGCUAAUUAUAGACCCACUUGUUUCUCGCAAUAUUUAUGUUGAUUCCAAGGUAUUUGCCCAUCAGUAGAAACCUAUCAAUUGUAGAUUUAGUUGCUCUAUGCUAGCUAAUCUAGAAACAUCCUAAUUGGGCUUGUUUUGAGAAGUAUCUUGUUCGCUACCAUGUUGAAUUUAUUUGGUAUGCAUGCUCUUUCAUUCACUAUUGGGCAGAUUUGCAAAACAAAGGUGAGCGAGCUGCACUGGAAUAGGGUAUGGCAGCUUUGGAAUUCCAUAAUGAUUGUCAUGCAGAGAGAGGAAGGGAUGUGCUAAUGUGUAGCUCUUAAUUUCUUUUUCCUCCCCUGUGGAUUUGGGGCAUUUUUGGUCCCCUGUGUAACAUAUUCUGUCAGGUUUUCCUACCAGGGCAUUUUUGUGGCGGUGGCUGGCGAGACUCUUUCAUUUAAGCCUUUUGUUAUUUUUUUUCUUUGCACCUGGAUAUGUUUUUCUUUUUUUGCUCCAUUAUCGAUUUGAUACUGAAAGUCGAUCCUUUUUUGGAUUGAAUGGAAAAACACAAUGCCUUCAUCUACGGCUUUUCAUGUACUACUCAUUAUGAUUGCAAUCAUCACCUUGUUGUGCAGCCACUUACAUGUAUCCUCAUUAUAUAUUUCAGCAUAGUUCCCUAUGUAAAAAAAUUGGACUCCGUUUGCAACAAACAAUUUUGUCUGGUACAUCAUACUACAUAAUAUGAUGUGUAGCUACUUCCCCAAGGGUGGCAUGACUAAGUUCUUUAGCCCAUGUAUGAAACCAUGGUUUUUAUCCUACGUGCUNNNNNNNNNNNNNNNNNNNNNNNNNNNNNNNNNNNNNNNNNNNNNNNNNNNNNNNNNNNNNNNNNNNNNNNNNNNNNNNNNNNNNNNNNNNNNNNNNNNNNNNNNNNNNNNNNNNNNNNNNNNNNNNNNNNNNNNNNNNNNNNNNNNNNNNNNNNNNNNNNNNNNNNNNNNNNNNNNNNNNNNNCCAAAAGGUGAUCAUCGUCUUUAGCGAGCUGUUUUUGUUUGGUCAAAGUUUGUUAUUCUUCAGUGUUUAACAUAUCGUGUUAAUUUAGGCUUGCCUUGGAUGCACAAUAUUGUGCGUUGAAAUUUCUUUUGUUGUUAAGGAAAGAAUUUCCUAGCUAAUUUUAGUUAUAUCAAGCAAUAGUUACAUCGUCCACUAAUAGGUUAACUAUAGAACUAGGGGGAUAAUCCAAUCAAAUAGCCCAUGAAUUACAACACCCCAACUUAUUAGCUAGCUCAUGUGCGAAUACAUUCGAUUAUCUAUUAUAGUGUUGAACUAAAGCCUUUGCAAACUCCGUCAAUCAAGAACCUACAAUCAUCGAUGAUAUACGCCCCCACUAGUGAGUGACGUAAAUUCGUGUUGAGUGCUUCUACUAGCUUUGCAUUGCCAGACUAUACAAUGAGAUGAUUGCAUUGUGUGGCAUGGGCAAGUGCCAAACCUUCCUUCAAUGCAGCAACUUCUAGAGUGAUAACAUCAACAAUGUGCUCUAGACGAGCCAUUGUUGCGCCAACAAAUAAGCCGCAAUGUCGAAUUUAACAAAUGUACAAUCAAGCAGUUGGGCCAUAAUACCUUCACAAUGAUGUGUCAACAUGUUAGCACAUUGGGGACCAGUGGCAACUACCUGGAAUAGGGACAGGGAUAAAGGUUGUCGACGCGAGCAUGGGGGACUGGUGGAGCUCACGGUAUCUACAAAAAUCUCUUCGUGUUGGAUGUAGAAGAGCUCCUGUUUCCCUCUGAUGCCGUUCUGCAAGUCGCUGACAUGGGCAUCUGGAGAGGGCGCAUGACUGAUGGAAGAGAUGAAUGAGUGGAACUAUCGUCCCAUGUGGACCCUCAUGCAGAACCGAGGCUUUAAACGCUAUCUAUAUACUUAGAUAUACCAAAUCCAGUCCAUUGGGACCUCGCCAUGUUGGCCCAAUCACGCCCAGACACCUGCCCAAGCAGUUGAUGUCUCCGCGUGCAGAUCGUGCGCUUUUGUUAGACCAUAUUUACCGCAUAGGGCAUGUAAUAGACGACCACUCGUGGCCAAUGGAUCGGUCCGUUAACGAGCACACAUGAUUUUUUUUGUUUGCUUUCAUCGGCGGUGCUAUAUCGCUUUAAGCAUGUGCAAAAAGCUCAUGUUGAUAUAUAUAAUUUUUCCCCAGUGUUGUGAUGUAUAUCUUUCUUCAGAUAUUUAUUUUUUGAUUUUUAUUUCCAGGUAUGCUCUAAAAGUAAAAUAAAAUCUGAUGAUAUUUCUAAUUAUAAAAAAAGUUCUCAAAGCAAAAAAAUGCAGGAAUCUGAAAAAUGCAGCAAGAACUGGCGCCUACAGCGACCAGCCAUGGGCCGCGGCCCAUUAAAAGAUCGCUCGCUCGCUCCCUUUCCGUUCGCUCGCUCGCCUGGAUGUAGAAAAAAAGACUCGCAUCGCUUGCUUUUUUGGGCUGUGCUGCGCCGCUGGUUCAGGAAAAAGACCGGCCUCCGGUUUUUACAAGUUUGAAUAUGUUUGCGAAAAAAGGUCAUAUAUUAUUAAGAAAAGUUCAUUGAUUUUGAACAAGAAACUUCACAAAUCUGAAAAAUGUUCAUCUGAUUAGAAAAAAGUUGAUCAAAUUGAAUAUAGUUCACUGGAUUUGGAAAAAAGUUCACCGAAUCGAAAAAAGUUCACUGGAUUUGAUUUUUUUUUUCAUCCAAUUGAAAAGGUUCAUCAGAUUUUAGAAAAAGUUCAGCGAUUUUUAGAAUAAGUUCAGAAAAAUGUUCAGAAGUUCAUUCACUUUCAAAAAAAAGUUAAUCAGUUUGAAAAGAAAUCAUUGAACUUGAAAAAGUUCAUUGAAAUUAAAAAAAAGUUCAUCGAAUAGAAAAAAGUUCAUCAAUUUAAAGAAAAAUGUUCACGAAUUAGAAAACAAAUAUUGUCUAUUUUUAGACAUUUCAUGCAUUAAAAAAAGAAAACAGGAAUGAAAAAAAGGGGAUCAAACACAGGAAACAAAAAGGUAUAAAAUACGGAAUCGAGGCUUGUAUUCACAAGUCAAGGCGGUGGCGUAGUGGUCUGCUAGUUUUCUAUCAACUCAGAGAUAGUUGGUUUCGAUUCUUGGUUGUGCACGUUUUUCCUACCUCUCCUUUUUUGAUUUCGAAAACAGGGGGCAAAAUGGGAGUUGGGCCGAGCCCAGCUAGCGCCGCUGCAGGCGCCGGUUGCGGAAACAGCUAUAACCGGCGCUUGCAGCGCCAAAUAGGAAAUACUGGUUCUGGAAGCUUCCAGGAGGAGGUUUUUUUUUCUGGUUGUUUUGCCCUUAUUUCCUCAUAAUUUAUCUUCGGAAAAUCUAACGCCCACACGUGUGGGCAUUUGCACAUCGCCCACACGCCUUCAUCAUAACUCAUUUUGUCACGUGUGAAUAGAUGACAUCAAUAGAAAUCUUUUUGAUUUUUGGCUUAAAAAUGUUUUAUCUCCUAAUUAAAAAGGCAAAUUAAAAAUACGUUUUCACCAUUAAAUCCGUCUCGACGAGAUCUUCAAAACCAGACCCCAUGUUGAUAUGUUUCAACGAUUUUUUUGUCUAAAAGUUGCCAUGAUGUUUACACUGUAGUUGCCAUGGCGCUUAAACUAAAAUUGCCAUGUGGCAAUUUUAGUUUGCAGAUCAUGGCAAUUUUAGUUUUUGAUGAUGGCAAUUCCAGUACUUUGAUCAUGAAAAUAUUUUUUGUCUGAACCAUGGCAAUUUUAAGUGCAUGUAUCAUGGCAAUUUUAGUUUAUGGUGCAUGACAAGUCUAGUUUCUUAAUUUUCCGUUUUAUAAUAUGUCAAAAUUUACUUUUAAAUAUAGAAGAAAUAGCUAAAACAUAACAUGGCAACUUUAGUGUAAACAUUAUGGUAAUUCAUGUCCAAUAGACAUGGCAACUUUUAACAAAACAAAUUCGUAGAAAUAUAUUGAUAUGAGAUCUAGUUUCGAAGAUCUCGUCGCGAGUGAUUUAAUGGUGAAAACAGAUCUUAAAUCAGAAUUUGCAUUUAAGAGACAAAAUAUUUUAAAAACUGAAAAUCCAAAAAGAUUUUCACAUGCAUGCAUGCGAUGACAUGGCAUAGUCUGUAUGUUAUAGGGCAUGUGGGCAGGUUUGGCUUCCACCACACGUGUGGGCGUUAGCGUUGUCCUUUAUCUUUUGUUAUUUUCAUUUUAUCUUUUAUCUUUUAAUUUUUUUAAUUGGAUCAACUUUUUUAAAAUUCAGGAACUAUUUUCUAUUGCCGUGAACUUUCUUAUAUUCGAAACAUUUUCAAAUUCAAGAUUUUUGCCAAAUUUUUUGCACUUUUUCACAAUUUGAAUUUUUUGACAGAAAGUUAUGAACAUUUCACAAAGUCGUGUAUUUUUCAAAUUCAUGAACCUUUUUUCAAAUAUAUCAUUAUUUUUCAAAUUUGCAAACUUAUUUUUAAGCUAUGUUUUUUUAACAAAUUCAUGACUUUUUUGUUUUUUUGGCAAACAUGGUGCUUCUUUUUUUUUAAACAACACUAUAUUUUAAACAGUGAACUAGCGAGCCAGGUGGCCAAACGACCGGGUCGGGGGCAGCCUAGCAACAAGCCUAGUGGGCGGCCAAUGCCGCAGGUCUCAGUGGCUGCUAGGUUACUAGGAAGUCCUAUAGGAUGCUGUUUGCGUCAAAAUGCUGGGGCUUCGCACAGAGCAUCCAGUUGGUGGGCUUUCUCGGUUAUUUUUUUCGACUGUAGCGACUGGCUCCCAAAAGAAGUACCACCGCAGGGAAUGGAACACAGUAUCCCGUCAUGAGAGAGAAGGCGAUACAACCAAUUUAGCUAGCCAACUUUAGUGAUUAUAAAACAAAACAAACUUUUAAGAACCGAACACCAGCGCAGAUUCUAAAGGCAGCGCAAAUUCUAAAGGCAGCGCAAAUCAUUAAAUGCUGAAAAACAUUUUCUGAAAAUUGUCAACACUUUUCAGAAAUGGGAACAUUUUUUAUAAUUCCGCUUUUUUUUUAUAAUCAAACAUUUUUUAAAUUACUAAAAAAAUGUAAACAUCGACUUUUUUAAAAAUUUGUAAACAAUUUUUGAAAAUGGGAACAUUUGCUAAGUUCCAAAUAAUUUACAAAUAACCUUUCGAACAUUUUUUUUGAUAAACACAUUUUUUUUAAAACACAAACAUUUUUUCAAAUUUGCAAACAAUUAAUGAAACUCCUACAAAAAUUGUAACUUUAACAUUUUUUUUAAAAAAAUGAAUAUUUUUCUAAAGCAGGAACAUUUUUUGAAAUUCCAAAUUUUUUGAAAAUUAUUUUCAAAAUGAUCAGUUUUUGAAAAUUGCAAAUAAUUUUUGAAAGAUGAUCAUUUUUGGAACAACUCAUAAAAUGGAAAUUUUGAGAACAUUUUUUUAACAUGAACAAUUUUUAAUUUCUGAACAAUUGUUUAUAAUGGGACAUUUUUAAAAUUCUGAACAUCUUUUGAAAAGUACAAACAUUUUUUGAAAAUCUUGAACAUUUUUUCAGAUUUUUGAACAAAACAAUAAAAGACAUGAAUUUAAAUAAAUAAUUAAAAUUGAAGAAAUAAAAAUCUUUUUUUGAACAACAAAGAGCGCCAAAGGCGCCAAAUUGCAUUCAGCUCAACAACAUAAUACAACAUUUAUUACAAUGCCCUGUACUAGUGUAGCAGACUAAAGAGCAAGCAAAACAAGACAACAGUUUAUGGAAUGAGCUGAUUUAGAGCAUACAUAGAUAGAUUGGUCAAGGCGUCGCUUUCGAAUCUGUUUUGCACAACUAUGUGCCACACCAUUGAGCUCCCUCUUGAUAUGAAAUACCUGUAUUAAAUCGGUACUAGUGGCUUGGAGAAAAUAUGCAAUUAUAUCUCUUGUGUCCCAACGCAUUAGUGGAUGGUCCAACUUCCUGGCGAUCGCCACCCUCGCGAGAACCUGGUUAUCAGUAAGAAAAGUUGGGCACUGAAUUUGAAGGAUAUGCGCCAAAGUUGCCGCCAGUAGAAGAGCUUUCGCUUCUGCCUGAAAGGCUGAAGAUGCUUGCGGUGCCGAUGCUUGUAUCAUGAUGUUAUAAUCCCUACCAGCAAGGUUGCUCCUGAUGUAUACCCCAAUGCCAGUGGCCUGAAGACAAUCCGCACCUUAAAUAUCCCUGCACUUUCAAGAAGCAUCAGCAAAGAUAAAGUAGCCAGGGAUACUCCUAUCAGUGGAGAUGGUUGAUACUUGCAUAGACACCACCCGCUUCAACAAAGGGGUUUUGAGCUACUUCUCCUGCAACUUUGCAUUGACAUGAUCAAAUCAAAUGAAAGAAAAGAAAAGAAAACGAAAUAGAAAAAAAGAAAAAAGGGACAGAAAGGAAAAAACUAGAAAAAGGAAAAAAUAAAAUAAAUAAAACAGAACAAGGAAAAAACCGGUUCAGAAACCUUCUAGAAGUUUCCCAAAACCAGAUAAACCGGCUAGGAACCUCUAGAAGGUUCCCAAAACCGGGGACGUUGAAACGCUUAAACGGGCUAGCCCAGCAGAACUAUCGCUCGAUCUCCCUUGUGCGAAACCUCGACAGUUUAACGCAGCAUGUGUCCAAUAGGAAAUUCCACUACGAUCGUCUUGCGGUUCCUAUUCUGUGCUUAUGUCUCCGAUUACUGGAAAUUCCACUACGAUCGUCUCGUGGUUCCUAUUCUGCGCUUAUGGCACCGGUUACUUUGGUAACCAUCGCAACGCACACCCCUGCUAUAAGUGGGCCGACCCAUAUAACGGGAGAGUGAACGUUCGAUGGUCGCUUGACGGUUUUACAGUGGACCGGUCAAGGACAAUUGUUUUUUUUCAGUUGACCAGUUGAAGAUUCCCAAAGCUAUUAGGAAGCUUUCAGAAGCUUUUGGCUGAUUUUUUUGUUUUGUUUUCCUAUUUUAUUUUGAUUUUCACCUAUUUUUUUCAUUAUGAAAUUUCACAAAAAAUUCAAAUUUGUGAAAAAUAGAAAUCAUAAAAAAUGCGAACCUUUUUCGAUUUUGAGAAUAUUAUCCAAAAUGGGGACUUUUCCUAAUUCAUUUUUCUAAUUUGCCAAAUCAUUUUCAAGUUUGAAACAUUUUGUAUUCGUGUUUACCGAAUUCAUGAACAAUUUUUCAAAUUCACAAACUGAAAGCACAAGUGCUCCAUGGGUGAUUUUGAUAAUUAACAUCAACAUAUCUCUUGUUAGACUAAUAUUUGCAUCUAGUAUAUUUCAGAAAGUUCAACAAUGGCGUGGCAUGGACAAGAGGAUGUGGAACCCCUUCAAGAUGCUAAGGACAAAGAUUGACAAAACUCAAGACGCUUCAUUUCUAUUUUAGUGAUUUAAGAUCACGUUGAGUCCAUAGGAAAAGCUAAUACUAUAGAGAGGGGAUGAGGUGUUGUUUAAGGAUCUACUUGCUCAAAGUGCUUAGUGAUAUGCUCCAAAGACCUCAACCACUUUCUCAAAUUCAAAUAUGUCCUAAACCUCAAGUUAAACUCGGCCCCACCGAUUUGAUCGAUACGGCGCCACCAAGUUCUUUUGACAUAGCCACUGCUAGAAACCCUAAUCAAUUCGAUCUCACCGAUAGGGAUCUCAGUCUCACCGAGAUGGCCUUGCAAACUCCCUGUUGUCCGUUGUAAUUAUUUUGGUCUCACCGAAAUGUGCAAUCGGUCCCACCGAGUUUGCUUGACCAACUCUCUGUUUGCUCAUUGCUGAAAUCGGUCUCACCGAGUUCAUGCAACCGGUCACACCGAGAUGAGAUUUUGCCCUAACCCUAGCACACCGGUCACACCGAGUUGAUCAUGUCAGUCCCACCGAGAAUCCUAACAUUCACGUUUUGAACUGAAUCGGCCUCACCGAGUUCACCUAUUCGGUCUGACCGAGUUGGGUCAAAUGUGUGUAAAAGUUAGAUUUUGUGUGGAGGCUAUAUAUACCCCUCCACCCCCUUCUCUAUUCAAGAGAGAGCCAUCAGAACAUGCCUACACUUCCACUACUCAUUUUAUGAGAGAGAACCACCUACUCAUGUGUUGAGACCAAGACAUUCCAAUCCAACCACAAGAAUCUUGAUCUCUAGCCUUCCACAAGUUGGUUUCUACUCAAAUCAUCUUUUCACCAUAGCCAAAUCUAUGAGAGAGAGUUGAGUGUUGGGGAGACUAUCAUUUGGAGCACAAGAGCAAAGAGUUCAUCAUUGACACACCAUUUAUUACCUUUUGGAGAGUGGUGUCUCCUAGAUUGGUUAGGUGUCACUUGGGAGCCUCCGUCAAUAUUAUGAAGUUGAACCAAGGAGUUUGUAAGGGUAAGAAGAUUGCCUACUUCAUGAAGAUCUACCCAAGUGAGGCAAGUCCUUUAUGGGCGAUGGCCAUGGUGGGAUAGACAAGGUUGCUUCUUCGUGCACCCUUCGUGGGUGGAGCCCUCACUGGACUCGCGCAACCGUUACCCUUCGUGGGUUGAAGUCUCCACCAACGUGGACAUACUAUAGCACCACCUAUCGGAACCACGCCAAAAAUCUCUGUGUCUCCAAUUGCGUUUGCACACUCCAAUCCCAUCCCUUUACUUUCUUGUAACUUGCAUGCUUUACUUUCUGCUGCUCAUAUACUCUUGCCAUGCUUGAUUGAAAUAUAUUGUGAAUGCUUAAACUUGUGCUAAAACUCCAUCUCAACUUGAAGAAUCUAAAAACUGCCACUUUUGCUUGUUGAGGGUCUAAUCACCCCCCUUUAGACACCUCUUCUUGAUCCUUUCAAUUGGUAUCAGAGCAUUGAUCUCCAUUGCUUUGGUUUAAUCACCAUUGGAGGAAGAUGGAUGAGUCUACGAUGGGGAGUUUUAGACGUAGAGUGCCUAUGCUUGACGGAGAGUUCUUUAGUGCUUGGAAAAAUGAGAUGCUUGAGAUUUUCAAUGAAUAUAUCACUUGAACAAGUACAUUACUAGCCCUUGUGCACCCCUUAUUGAUCCAUUGCAUCCUACCCCCGAUGAGUCUCUUGACAUGAUCUGUAAUCUUAGAACCAUUGAUCUUAUCAUUAGAGGAUUGCAUAGAAAUUUGAGUGUAUGCUUGCCUGCUCUAGAAUGUGCUUAUACCAUAUGGAGAUUUCUUGAGGAACGUUUUCCAAACUAUUCAUUGAAAAAUCUAGAUGUGAUUCUUCAAAAGACCAUAGAUUUUCAUAAAAUGAAACCUAGUGAUCCUAAAUUUGAUGAUUGUCUAUUUGAGCUUCGUGACCUUAUGCGUGCCAAAGGAGAUGUUGGAGUCAUUAGUAGCAUCAUCUCUCAAGUCAUUAGAAUUCAUAAAGAUGAACAUUGCCAUGGUCAUACAUCUAAUGAAUCACUCUCUCUAGGUGAUGAUCUAUCACAAGACAAUGUUGAAUAUGGAUACUAUGAUGAGGAUGAUGAUAGUGACUUUGAUCUCAAUGAGUCUAUGAGACACUUUGGUCUUAUGGCUAACCUUCGCGGCUAUAUGGCUGGAGGAGGAAUGGGUUCUUGAUAGUGGAUGUACAAAUCACAUUACCGGAGACAAGGAUAUGUUUCGUGAGCUUGCUGAAAACGACAGCCCUCGAAAGUAUGUCACUUUUGGUGAUAACUCAAAGGGUAAGGUGGUUGGCCUUGGUAAGGUGGCCAUCUCAUAUGACAGCUCCAUCCAUAAUGUUAUACUCGUUGAAUCUCUUGGCUAUAAUUUACUUUCCUUAUCUAGACUAGUGAUACGUCAAUUUUGCAUCAUAUUUUCUUACUGUUAUUUAUGAUGUUUUUAUCCAUAAUAAUGUUUUUUUGAGUAAUUCUAAUGCCUUUUCUCUCAUAAUUUACAAGGUACACACCAAGGGGGAGAAUUCUGGCAGUUGGAAAUCUGGACCUGGAAAAGCUACGUCAGGCUACCUAUUCUGCACAACUCCAAACAAGCUGAAACUUCACGGGGAUUUUUUAUGGAAUAUAUAAGAAUUAUUAGAGAAAAUAACUACCAGAGGGGGGCCACCAGGUGGGCACAACCCACCUAGGCACGCUAGGGCCCCCUAGCGCGCCCUGGGGGUUGUGGCCUCCUAGGCCCACCUCCGGUGCCCAUGUUUUGGUAUAUAAGUCAUUUUGACCUAGAAAAAAAAUAAGAAGAGGACUUUCAGGAGAAGCGCCGCCGCCUCGAGGCGGAACUUGGGCAGGAGCACUUUUGCCCUCCGGCGGAGCGAUUCCACCGGGGGAACUUCCCUUCCAGAGGGGGAAAUUAUCGUCAUCAUCAUCACCAACAACUCUCCCAUCUUGGGGAGGGCAAUCUCCAUCAACAUCUUCAACAAAACCAUCUCCUCUCAAACCCUAGUUCACCUCUUGUGUUCAAUCUUGUUACCGGAACUAUAGAUUGGUACUUGUGGGUGACUAGUAGUGUUGAUUACAUCUUGUAGUUGAUUACUAUAUGGUUUAUUUGGUGGAAGAUUAUAUGUUCAUAUCCAAAUGAUAUUUAAUACUCCUCUAAUCAUGAGCAUGUUUAUCAUUUUUGUGUAGUUACCUUUGUUCUUGAGGUCACAGGAGAAAUCAUGUUGCAAGUAAUCAUGUGAAUUUGAUAUGUGUUCGAUAUUUUGAUAAUAUGUAUGUUGUGAUUCCCUUAGUGGUGUCAUGUGAACAUCGACUACAUGACACUUCACCAUAUUUGGGCCUAACGGAAUGCAUUGCGGAGUAGCAAUUAGAUGAUGGGUUGCGAGAGUGAUAGAAGCUUAAACCCCAGUUUAUGCGCUAUUCUGUAAGGGACCGAUUGGAUCCAAAAGUUUAAUGCGAUGGUUAGAAUUUAUUCUUAAUACUUUUCUCAUAGUUGCGGAUGCUUGCGGGAGGGUUAAUCAUAAGUAGGAGGUUUGUUCAAGUAAUAACAUCACCUAAGCACCAUUCCACCCACAUAUCAAAUUAUCAAAGUAGCGAACACAAAUCGAACCAACAUGAUGAAAGUGACUAGAUGAAAUUCCCGUGUAUCCUCAAGAACGCUUUGCUUAUGAUAAGAGACCGUUUUGGCCUGUACUUUGCCUCAAAAGGAUUGGGCUACCUUGUUACACUUUUGUUACUACUAUGGUUACUUGCUCAUUACAAAUUAUCUUGCCAUCAAACUACCCUGCUACUUAGAAUUUCAGCAUUUGCAGACAUCACCUUACUGGAAACUACUUGUCAUUUCCUUCCGCUCCUCGUUGGGUUCGACACUCUUACUUAUUGAAAAGAGCUACAAUUGAUCCCCUAUACUUGUGGGUCAUCAAGGCUAUUUUCUGGCGCCGUUGCCGGGGAGUGAAGCGCUUUUGGUAAGUAGAAUUUGGUAAGGAAAUAUUUAUACAGUGUGCUGAAAUUUAUUGUUACUUGUUAUUAUGGAAAACAAUCCAUUGAGGGGUUUGUUCGGGGUAUCUUUGCCUCGUACGGAACUACAAUUAGCUACCCCUCAACCUACUGCACCUACUGAAAAUAUUGAAUAUGAAAUUCCUUCGGGUAUGAUAGAACAACUGCUAGCUAAUCCUUAUGCAGGAGAUGGAACCGAACAUCCUGAUAUACACUUGAUAUAUGUGGAACAAAUUUGUGGAUUGUUUAAGCUUGCAGGUUUACCCGAAGAUAAAGUUAUGAAGAAGGUUUUCCCUUUAUCUUUGAAGGGAAAAGCAUUGGCAUGGUAUAUGCUAUGCGAUGAUAUUGGAUCAUGGAAUUGGAAUCGUUUGAAAUUGGAGUUCCACCAAAAAAAUUAUCCUAUGCAUCUAGUUCAUCGUGAUCGGAAUUAUAUAUAUAUAUAUAUAUAUAUAUAUAUAUAUAUAUAUAUAUAUAUAUAUAUAUAUAAAUUUUUUUGCCUCGUGAAGGAGAAAGAAUCGCUCUAGCUUGGGGGAGGCUUAAGUCAAUGUUAUAUUCAUGCCCCAUUCAUGAGUUCUCAAGAGAAAUUAUUAUUCAGAAUUUUAUGCUCGGCUUUCUCGUAAUGAUCAAACCAUGCUUGAUACUUCUUGUGCUGGUUCCUUUAUGAAGAAGACUAUUGAAUUCCAGUGGGAUCUUUUGGAAAGAAUUAAAUGCAACUCUGAAGAUUGAGAACUCGACAAAGGUAAAGAGUCAGGUAUUAAACUUGAGUAUGAUUGUGUUAAAUCUUUUAUGGAUACUUAUGCUUUUCAAAAGUUGAGCACUAAAUAUUUACUUGACUCUGAGAUAGUAGCCUCCUUUUGUGAAUCUUUUGCCACUCAUGUUGAACUCCCUAUGGAGAAGUGGUUUAAAUAUCACCCACCUAUUAAAGAAGAAAUUAAAGAACCGGUACCAGUUAAAGAAGAAACUAUACUUUAUAAUGUUGAUCCAGUUGUUCCUUCUGCUUAUAUUGAGAAACCACAUUUCCCUAUUAGGAUAAAGAAACAUGCUAAAGUUUCAACUGUGGUUAACAAAAUCUACAUUAGAACACCUAAACUUGAUGAACAAAUAAAAUUUGAACUUAGUAUUACUAUGGUUAAAGAUCUCUUGGAAGAAGAUAUGGAUGGGCAUGUUAUUUACUUCUGUGAAGAAGCUGCUAGAAUUGCCAAACCCGAUAAGAAAGAUAAACAUAGACCCGUUGCUGGCACCCUGUCAUCUCAGUUAAAAUAGGAUAUCACUGUUAUCAUGGUUUAUGUGACAUGGGUGCUAGUGUGAGUGCUAUACCUUACACCUUAUAUCAAGAAAUUAUGAAAUACAUAGCACCUACAGAGUUAGAGGAAAUAGAUGUUACCAUUAAACUGGCUAACAGAGACACCAUAUCACCAUUUGGGAUUGUUAGAGAUGUUGAAGUCUUGUGUGGGAAAAUAAAAUACCAUACUGAUUUUCUUGUUCUUGGUUCCCCGCAAGAUGACUUUUGUCCCAUUAUUUUUGGUAGACCUUUCUUGAAUACAGUUAAUGCUAAGAUAGACUGUAAGAAACAAACUGUUGGUGUUAGCUUUGGUGAUUAGUCUCAUGAGUUUAAUUUUUCCAAGUUUAGUAGAAAUCUUCAUGAAAAAGAAUUGGCUAGUAAGGAUGAAUUAAUUGGUCUUGCUUCUAUUGCUGUACCACCUACUGAUCCUUUAGAAUAAUAUUUGCUAGACCAUGAAAAUGAUUUAUGUCAGGGUUCAGGAACGACACCUAUGGGAUCCCUCGGGGAGUCCCUUCUACGGUUGGCAUGGCGUGGGGCUAUGCAAAGAGCGGGUCUAGAAGAUCAAUGUGGUGGGAUUUUUACCCAGGUUCGGUCCACAAACGAUGCGUAAAACCCUAGUCUUGCUUUGUGUGUAUUUAGUGUUCUUGAGCUCCUGAACUAGCUGCGGUGCAUGCCUAGUCCAAAAAGUCCGAAUCCUUCCUCAGUACGCCUCGGGCCUCCUUUUAUAUGUCAAAGGGGUUGCCACAAUGGCACACAAGAGGAGAAAAGUAUGUACAAUGUACAAGUCUAUCACCUAGCACCAUAGGACAAACACAUUUAAUGCGCCACCGACGUGCCCUCUUGCUUUAACGGGGACGGUAAAGAAGCUCGUACCGUCCAUCACUGCCUCGCCUUGCUUCGACGCGCGUCCAAGGUGACGAGGCAUGCAACGCCAUGCUGGCUGGCCGGCUGCUGAGCUGGUGUGGUGGCAGAGUCUUCACGAAGAUCUGCAUGCCACCAAGCAGGUGCAUUGGCGAGUUGGCCUAGAAGCUACAUGUUGUCACACAGGCGCUCGCCUAGUUGGUGGGUUGGCCGCCAUGUCGGAACGGGUGCGGGGCAGCGAAACUCUGGCAAGUGUGAGCCUGGCCUCGGCCCUGCAGAUGCUCCCGGCAAGGGCCUUGCUGGGAUCUCGUGGGUGUCCCCAGCAAGAGUCUUGCCGGGGGGCUUGCGAGCGUCCCCGGCAAGGGUCUUGCCGGGGGUCUUCGGUCGUCCCUGACAAGAUCUUGCCGGGGGUCUUCGUCUUCUGGUUCUUAUCUAGGCCUACAGGCCUUUGGUUUUCUCAAACAUCUGCAUGCCACCAUGCAAGCGCUCCCGAGCCUUGGUCUUGACGUUGUUGAUGGCGUCAUAACUCUCAGGCUCAAGGGUGGCAGUCUUGCUGGUGUUGGACAAGUUGCCCCGGCAAAGCUCUUGCCGGGGCCAUGUAGGCCGUCCCGGCAAGGGUCUUGCUGGGGGGAAGUCCAUCUUACCCCUUUGUUCUUCAUGCUUCUGGUUCGAGUGCUACCUUGGCAGCCUCGUGAUACGUCUCCAACGUAUCUAUAAUUUUUGAUUGCUCCAUGCUAUAUUAUCCACUGUUUUGGGCAAUAUUGGGCUUUACUUUCCACUUUUAUAUUACUUUUGGGACUAACCUAUUAACUGGAGGCCCAGCCCAGAUUUGCUGUUUUAUGCCUAUUUCAGUGUUUCGAAGAAAAGGAAUAUCAGACGGAGUCGAAAUGGAACGAAAUCAACUGGAGAAGUUAUUUUUGGAAAGAAACACACCUGAUGAACUUGGACCCCACGUCAGGGGAGACACGAGGUGCUCACGAGGGUGGGGGGCGCGCCCCCCUGUCUCGUGGGACCCCCGUGGCUCCUCCGACGUCCUCCCUGCACCCAUAUAUACCCACGUGACCUAAAACUUCCAGAACGCAGCAUAGAUCGGGAGUUCCGCCGCCAGAAGGCUUCGUAGCCACCAAAAACCAAUCGAGACCCGUUCCAGCACCCUGCCGGAGGGGGCAAUCCUUCUCCGGUAGCCAUCUUCAUCAUCCCGGUGCUCUCCAUGACAAGGAGGGAGUAGUUCUCCCUCGGGGCUGAGGGUAUGUACCAGUAGCUAUGUGUUUGAUCUCUCUCUCUCUCUCGUGUUCUUGAGAUGAUACGAUCUUGAUGUAUCGCGAGCUUUGCUAUUAUGUUUGGAUCCUAUGAUGUUUCUUCCCCCCUCUACUCUCUUGUAAUGAAUUGAGUUUCCCCUUUUGGAGUUAUCUUAUCAGAUUGAGUCUUUAAAGAUUUGAGAACACUUGAUGUAUGUCUUGCCGUGGAUAUCUGUGGUGACAAUGGGAUAUCACGUGAUUCACUUGAUGUAUGUCUUGGUGAUCAACUUGCGGAUUACUCCCAUGAACCUAUGCAUAGGGGUUGGCACACGUUUUCGUCGUGAUUCUCCGGUAGAAACUUUGGGGCACUCUUUGAGGUCCUUUGUGUUGGUUGAAUAGAUGAAUCUGAGAUUGUGUGAUGCAUAUCGUAUAAUCAUACCCACGGGUACUUGAGGUGACAUUGGAGUAUCUAGGUGACAUUAGGGUUUUGGUUGAUUUGUGUCUUAAGGUUUUAUUCUAGUAUGAACUCUAGGGCUGUUUGUGACACUUAUAGGAAUAGCCCAACGGAUUGAUUGGAAAGAAGAACUUUGAGGUGGUUUCAUACCCUACCAUAAUCUCUUCAUUCGUUCUCCGCUAUUAGUGACUUUGGAGUGACUCUUUGUUGCAUGUUGAGGGAUAGUUAUGUGAUCCAAUUAUGUUAGUAUUGUUGAGGGAACUUACACUAGCGAAAGUAUGAACCCUAGGCCUUGUUUACCAUCAUUGCAAUACCGUUUACGCUCACUUUUAUCACUUGUUACCUUGCUGUUUUUAUAAUUUCAGAUUACAAAUUCCUAUAUCUACUAUCCGUAUACCACUUGUAUCACCAUCUCUUCGCCGAACUAGUGCACCUAUACAAUCUACCAUUGUAUUGGGUGUGUUGGGGACACAAGAGACUCUUUGUUAUUUGGUUGUAGGGUUGCUUGAGAGAGACCAUCUUCAUCCUACGCCUCCUACGGAUUGAUAAACCUUAGGUCAUCCACUUGAGGGAAAUUUGCUACUGUCCUACAAACCUCUGCACUUGGAGGCCCAACAACGUCUACAAGAAGAAGGUUGUGUAGUAGACAUCACCUCGUAUCUUUCCUUCUUCUGCCCCGCCAAGCCCGAUUGCAGGUGUGACUACGAUUGCCCAUGCACAAGUAAAGGGGUACAGAAAGCCCCCUACUUUUGUACACUGAUAGGAGCCCCCGAGCCUGGGCCAUAUAUAAGCGCAAGGCGUUGCUGGGCCAGGCCCAGAACGGUGCGCGGACAUGUGUGGCAGAGUUUUAACUAUGGUAACUCCUUCGCCAGUUGCGCUCCCCCACGACCCGCAUUGAGUGCGUGACGUGGGGUCGUGCGUGGAACGGUCGCAGCAUGCUUGCAUCACCUCACGGUGAAUAGUAAAGAGGCGGCCCAUGUCCUCCUCAUAAAAAAGAGGAAACCGCAGGGGCACUGCUCAUUUACCCUCUGUGCCCUUUCCAAUUUUGGAACCGCCGUUCCCCUCAUCUACUCUAAGCGCGAACCGAAGCUUUCGCCUCUGCUCGCCACCGCCAUAGCCGCGCCCCCCGUUGCUCUCGAUCCCUUACCUCUUCUCAGCCACCAUGGCACCCAAGACAGGCAAGGGCAAGGGAGUGGCCAAUGACGUUGGGGAGAAAGAGGCACCGGAGAGCGAGUUGGUGGGGAUGCAGAUGGAAUGCACCCUCUUCACCUCGAUGGUCGACGCGCUCACCCUCAAGGAGAAGUUUAGGCCCUUGUGGGGGACUGAGACGUCGGAGCACCCAGCCACGCGUAUCAUCCCCGCCUCCUUUGCCAAGGCCGGCCCAAAUCGGUACCCCUUCUUUGUCAAUUACUUCUCCUGCGGGCUCUGCCCCCUUUCUCUGAUUUCUUCAACAACAUCAUGCACACCUUCGGCUUCCAUCUUCUGGAUUUUAUGCCGAACGCCGUGGCGUGCAUGGCCUUCUUUGCCCACCUUUGUGAGGGCUUUGCUUGAGUGCAUCCCAGCACGACGCUCUUCCGCCACUACUUCACCCCUCGCAUCCAGCAAGGGGCGCCAUCUCUGGCUGCAUCGCCUGGAUCCCGAGGACACAAAGCAGGGGCACGUACCCGGAGGGCACCCAGAAGGACAGGUGGGAAGAGUGGCGGGGCCAGUGGUGCUUCAUUGUGGAGGAGGAUCCAUAGGAGUUCUGCCCGGUCCAUCGAAAGCCACCGGUCCGCAGGAAGGACUGGGGCGAUGUCCACGCCCACGACAAGAAGCUCACGGUAUCCACCACCAGGAUCCAUCGCCUCACCUCGGCCGGGCUCACUCUCGAGAUGAUCGGGGCCGAUUUCAUCCGUCGCCGGAUUGCCCCGCUGCACAAUAAGGGGAGGCCGGCUUGAGACUUCAGGAACGCGGCCAACAUCAUGAGGCUCUGCCCCAGUCUGAAUCACAACUUCACGGUGCUGCAGCACGACCACCUCUGCCAGAGGCUUUUUCAGCUCAAGGUCGACGAGGGCGGCAGGGCCGAGAAGACCGGCAAGGCUGGCAAGGCCGGCAGGUCUCUGUUUGGGUUGUCAGUGGAGGUGGUCCCGCUAAGCAACAACUCUUGCCAGACCACCAUCAUCGCCAUGAUGCCGGUCUUAACGCGCAUGGCCUCGGCCACCCUUGGGCCGAGCCAGGAGCAGAGCUGGUGCAGGAAUUCUUCGACAACUUGUCGGAGAGGUACGUUCACGACGAGCCGCAACUCAUCCGCGAGACCACCGCAGAGGAGCUAGAAUACAUCGCCGCCCGGGCAGAGGAGGCAGCGCUUGCCGAGGAGGCCGGCAGCCUUGGCACCAUGGAAAAUGAGGCCGACGUGGCCGUAGAGGUGAGAAAGUUUGCCAAGUGGACGGGAGCUGCCGGGGGUCCAGUGAUGCCGGCAUUGGGGUUCCCCUUGUUGAAGACAUGGUCGAGGAGCCAGCCAAAGAGGAGACCGAGGCGAAUGACCCCCGGCCACGGAGAGAAAGCGUGUCCUGCGGCGGGCUAGCUCCGACGAGCCGGUCCAGCCCGGCAGGACCACACAGCGGCAACAGGCCCAGGCGCAGCCCGUGUGUGAGACAAGGGCUGCAACAUCAAAGAAGGCCGUGGUCGCCGCUACUUCCUCAUCCAAGCGGCGCAGGACGCCUUCGCCUUCCCCUCCCCUCGCGGGCGCCGCCCCGGAGGCCGACUUCAACCUUGGGUCCUUCAGCCCGAAGAGGAAGAGGAGGCCAGCAGAGGAGGUCGAGUAAGCAUCUCGCCCUUCAUCAUUUCUGACGCUCAGUGUGUGCCAUCUUCCCUGACUUGAUCUUAUCUUUGCAGCGACACGGAGACGCUGGCUUAGAGGGUGGUGAAGAGAGCCAAAGCUUCGAUGGGUGUCCAGUCCCCGGCGAGCACUCCGCGCACGCCGGUGUUGGUGGUGAUCAUCCCGAACAACAGCCCUCGAUGCAGCCCCCGCUUCAGCCCCAGCGCGAGUUCAUCAUUCACUUCCCAUUGGCGGGCGUUGGGGCGUGAACCCUUGGUGUUGACCUUGCCGGGUUUGCAGGAGGAGAGCGGCAACAGGAGGAGCCACUGAGGGCCACCCUCGACACGCCGCCCCCGUCAACCACGCCACCCAGAGGGGCGUCACCGGCUAGGGCACCUUCCGCCGAGCCCACGCGCAUGGAGGAGGAGGAGGCAAGCAUGGGAACUGGUGGCUCCGUCCCGGCAAUGAAAGUCGGAGGGGAGGGAACCACUUCUGCUUAGCCCGGCAUAGGUAAGCAGCCCGCCUCCCAUCCCUUGCUAUCUCUGCCAUGCAAUGUCCUCUCUUUUCUUUAUUCCAAACUUUGAUUUUGUCAUCGUCUUAUCCUCCUUUCUGGGUUCUAGACCCUCCCUCGAUGGACCAGGAGGAUAUCGACACCGUCAUUGAGGAGGUUGCCAGGGAUGCCGAAGCCGAGGCCACCAAGAUCGCGGAUGACGAAGCCACCAGGUCUGCUGCCGAGGAGGCCGGCAAGGAGCUUGCCGGGGAGGCCAGCAAGGCCACUACUGAGGAGGCCGCCAAGGAGCCUGCCGGAGAGGGGAUGGCUGACGACCAACCUUCCUCCCCACAGCCCCCACCUCAGGCAGGUACUUGAAUAUGGGGGACGACCUAUUCAUCCGCCUCCCAGGGACGGCGAGCGCCAGAGUGCCAGCCGAAGGGGAGGUGUUUGAUGAUGAGGCGCUCGCCACCGCCGGGCUCUAGGUUGUUGACAAACCAAGCACCGGCGGUGAGGGUUCCGAAGAGGAGCAGCUUCUCCGAGCCGUGAGCGCCAACUUCUAGAAGCUCCAAGUGCUCCACCGUGCCCCCAAGACCAAGUGAAAUCCAGAAUGGCGGCGGUGGACAAGGCGGAGACGAAUUUUGAGGAGCGCGUCACUCAGACUCAUGUCUGGUUUGGCGAGGCCCGAGAAGAACUAUGGACUCCCCAGGGUGAGCUGGAUGAGCGCAAGUGAGAGCUCAUCAUGAAGCAGGCCGAGAUCGAGAAGGCCUAAGAGGUGGCGAAGGAACAGGCCGCCCGGGUGCAGCAACAAAUUCUGCUAGACACCCAGAAGGAAGAUCUUGUUGCCCGCGAGCAGGCGCUUGCCGCCACGCAUCACGGCAAGGAUGAGGAGAUCGAGAAGAUCAUCGUGCAGCAGACCCAGGAGCUGGAGCAGAGGCACAAGGAGGCACUCGAUGCUCUGGCCCUGGACCAUGCCGGCAAGGUGGAGAAGCUAGAUCCGGAGCGGGAGGAGCUGAAGAAGAAGGUCUUGGAGCUGACGGAGGAGAGGGACACGGCCAACCGCGCUCUGGCGGAUUCGAAGGUCACCAUCUCCGACCAGAUCAAGCUGCACUCCGAGGCCAACGGCUCCAUUGAAGGUUUGAAGCUGCAACUGGGCGCUUUGGAGGGGAAGCUUUCAGAGGCCACGGCCCGGGAGGAGACCCUGAACAAGGCCCUCGAGACCGAAAAGCGGUUGCGGAGUGAUGACGCUGCUGCCCACAAGGACUAUGAGGACAGUGUGAAUCUCUGGAUCAGUCAUCUCAUCGGCGUUGCAGAGAAGCUCACCGCGCAGCUAUCCAUCAUGGGCAUGCCAGACGUCAGGUUCUCCCAGGAGGUGAACACAAGCCCCGAUGCCAGGCUGACCUUGUUCUUCGAGCGCGUCCUCGGUGCCUUGGAGCAGCUCCGCUCCAAUCGAGCGACCUAUUUGGCCAAUGAGUCCCGGAGGCUUUGCCAGGGUGCCCUGACCAAGGUGCUCACCAAGGUGGCGUUCUGGAACCCCGGCGUUGACUUCGCCGAUGCGCUUGAGAGCUUGCGGGAGGGCACGGACCUCGCAGCGCUCGAAGAGCGUAUCGAUCCCAUCAUCAGCUGCGUCGACGGAGUCAAGAGGGUGGAGGUCCAGCGCCGGGACUAGCCACCCCAUUUCUCCUUGCCGCCACGAGUUCAUGCCCAAGACAAUUUAUCUUAAGUUAGAACCGCGGUAAUCACUGAUGUAAUAUAACUUUUCAGUGCUUUGAAAUUAAGCAUGCUAUCUUUCUGUUCGAUCUUUCCUUGUAUGUACACACCCAACGCCUAGUUGGAUAGCUUUGCUAGCGCGUAAACCCAUGUUGUGGCACUUUGAGGAAUGGAUCCUUAGCAGCCUGCCGGGGGGCGCUUGCUGCCGGGAAAAUCACCUUGCCGUUCUCAGCGCAGCCGCCUGAUCUGUUGAGCGGACUAGAAACAGGACAAGGGCGCUGCCAAUAGCGGAAGGGUUCCCUCGCGUGCAGCUUUUCCAUACAAGGAGCAAGAUCUUUCGAGGAAGAUAACCUUAUGUAAAAA
Molecule: long non-coding RNA, 68376 nt
Filed under: Triticum aestivum (bread wheat)
Lineage: Eukaryota; Viridiplantae; Streptophyta; Magnoliopsida; Poales; Poaceae
Description: long non-coding RNA (TAES_LNC026084)
Rfam family: U4 spliceosomal RNA (bases 1963-2027)
Source: RNAcentral